Molecule: long non-coding RNA, 48515 nt
Filed under: Gossypium raimondii (Peruvian cotton)
Lineage: Eukaryota; Viridiplantae; Streptophyta; Magnoliopsida; Malvales; Malvaceae
Source: RNAcentral
AACAUUCAUAAGAUAUGGCACCACUCAUCCCCCCAUCUAUCGGAUACCUAAAUUUCUUGCAGGUGAAGAGGUGUCACAAUUUGAAAUACCUGUUCCCGUCUUUCUUAGCAAAAGAUCUUGUGCAACUCCGAUACCUUCGAAUUUUGGACUGUAAUAUGAUGGAACAAGUAAUAUUCACGGAUGGAUUGGUUGAGGAACAUCAAGGGAGGAAUCAGAUGUUUUUCUUUAAUCUAAGUUCGCUGUGCCUAAACGACCUUCCCAAACUCACGAGUUUGUGCUUUGAAAAUUACUUUGAAUUUCACCGUUUGGCAUAUUUAACACUAGCAAAUUGUCCAUUGCUAAAAACAUUCAUCUCUAAAUGUGUACCCGGAGAUGAACCUCAAAUUGGCCAACAUGUACAGGCAAGUAACUUGGAGGUUCAUAACUCAUCUCUCCUCAAUGAAAAGGUAAUUUCUUCAAGGAUCCUCCUUUUAAUUUAUGUUACUUCGAUUGAUUUUAUUCAUUUGAAGUUCUUUCUUUUUCAUACAUAUUUCAGUUAUUAACCUAAUGAAAUGAUUUAUUAGGUUGUUUUCCCUAGUUUGGCGAAGCUGCAGAUUCAAAAUUGUGAUUCGUUAGAAGAAAUUAUUGAGCUGCAAGGACUCAUUGCUGAUGAGUCACAGUCAACAUCAGCUGCUCAAUCUAUUGUGGCUGAAACAGUGACGACCAAGUUUGUAUUUCCCAAACUAGAAAACCUUGGAUUGGAUAAGGUGCCAAGAUUGAAAAGUUUCUACUCUAGGAUGCAUACCACCCUGUGGCCUUCAUUGAAACAAAUGAGCAUUAUUGAAUGCCCCAAAGUACAGAUAUUUACUCGACAAUGUCCUGUGAGUCAGGUUGGAAUCUCAAACCAACAACCCUUGUUUUGCGUCAACGAGGUAAGCUCACUAGCAGUUUCAUAUUCCAUGUUCAUUACUUGAGAUUACCUAUAAAAUGCCCUUUCAAUUUAUGAGAAAGAAAUGGAAAUUAUAUUCAUUUUGUAGUCUAGUUCUUACGAAUUGAAAACUCUUUGAUCGAUGUUUAAUAUAUUCGUUGCCAUCCAGGACACUUUCCCUGUAUUAGAAGAACUAACACUGAAGACGAAUGAUAUGGUGAAGGGGAUAUGUGAUGGACAGCUCUCAUUGCAGUGUUUCCAAAACCUUAAGCAUCUUAACCUCCGAUUCUUUCCUGAGACAUCCACUACUCUUCCAUAUUCCUUCAUUCGGUCGCUACCAAAGCUUCAGAAGCUUGUUAUAAACAAUGCUUCCAUUUCUGAAAUAGUCCGGUCUGAAGGACUUAGCGAAGAGGAAAGGCACACAUUGGUAUUCUAUCAGUUAAAGGACUUAAGGUUGUCUCAACUUCCACAGUUGACGUUGAAGACUUUUGAACCAUCUUUGCUGUCUUUCAAAAAUCUAACAACACUGAAAGUUUCAAGAUGCCAUGGAUUCAUCAAUUUAAUCGCAUGCUCAACAGCUAAGUGCCUGAGGCUACUGGAAAGAUUGAGCAUAGAUGAUUGUGAGAUGAUAGAGGAAAUCAUAGCGUGUAAGGCUGAAGAAAUACAAGGCGGUAUUGUGUUUCCCAAACUGAAGUAUUUGCAACUAAGCUGUCUGCCACGUCUAGCAAGCUUUUCCUUGGCCGAUCACUCGUUGGAAUUCCCAGUCUUGCUAAUGGUGAAGGUGACAAAGUGUCCCAAAAUGAGGAAUUUCUGCCAAGGAGAUUUAAGCACACCAAGGCUGGAACAAAUGCACUUAACAAGAGAUGAGGAAGGUGAACUGCAGUGGGAAGGCGACCUUAACACUACCAUAAAACAUAUGUUCGAUGAAAUGGUACAAAUCAUUUAAAGGAUUUAAAUUCAUGUGUUUUUACAUACAUACAUACAAAGUUAAUUGAACAAUUCUUGGUUUGUUAUGAUCAUGUACAGAAUGUGCAAAAUUCUGAGGUGACGGAGGUUACUGAUCAGUUGCCCAAGCUGGAAUAAGGAAAUAUGUUUGGUGCCUAUGCGAAAAGCUCAAUUUCGUUUGAAUUCAAAACAAAUGGUAAUUGACUCUUCUAUUUUCAUCAUGGCUUAACUAACCAAGACCCUCCAACCUCCUCGGAACAGUUUGAAAUCGUUCCAAAAUAUGCUCUAGCAAAUGUUCCAAGCCAUCUCCUGCAACAGCUUUCCCUUACAGAUAGUUUUCUCAUUCGUGGCUGAGUCUAGUCUUAAUUUUUAUUUAUAUCUUUUAUAUCCAAUUUAUAAUUCUUAUUUGGGAUUUGUAUUUCAUCAUUGUUGAAAAAAAAAAACAAUUGAUUUCAACUAAGAAAAUAUUUAAAAACAUGUCUCUAAUCUUUUUCAAUUUUGAUAUUGAAAAAAUUGGUAUUUCUAAAAAUAUCAGAGUUAUUCAAUUACUUUCAUUUUUGAAAGUGAUAAAUUAAGGACAAUUAAUCAACGUUAAUAUUUUUCAUCAAUUAUACAUAAUUUUAUUGGUAUAAUAAUAAAUUAAGCCCUCAAAGUUUACACAUUCUAUCAAUUUGUUAUUGAUUUAAUAAAUUUAACCCACAACAUUUACACGUUUCGUCAAUUUGAUCAUGAUUUAACAUAUUUAACCCAUAAUAAUUACACAUUCUAUCAAUAUUUAAGCGAAAUAUAUAAUCAUUAAGGAUUAAAUUUUUUUAUACUAAUCAAAAAUAUGUAUAAUUAACAGAAACUAUUAGCACUUGAUUAAUUGUUCGUGGUUUCUUUCAAAAUUAAUAAGGAUUAAGUUACUCUAUUUCUUUUAGAGUGACCAAUUUGUUCAAUAUCAAAAAGAUAUUUUUUAUUUUUUUAAAUUUCAUAGGUAAGAAAAUCUCAAAAAAGAAAAUCUUUGAAAUAAAAAAAUAGUAUGUUUUAUAUAAUUAUUUAAAGUUACUCUCACAUCAUUUUUUACCCAUUCAAAGCUAGCAAGCCUUUCAUGUACAAAAUGGUGUAGCUCUGCAAUUUGGAUUAACAUUUUGGUGACCUCCAUGUGAAGUGAAAGAAAAUUGACAAUGUCACACAAUUAUUAUUUUUUCCUCCGUACCCUUAUGCCACCAAAGAAAGUUGAAUUAUCAAGGCACAAAAGUACUAAGGAGUAGGAGCUAGAAAAAGAGGGGCAUGAAAAUAAAGAGACUUACAUAUAUUAUUUGCAUAAUACAAAAUCAGUAUUUAAUAUUUACAUAUUUUAUUAAUUUGAUUUUUAUUUUUAUUUAGUUAAAUUUGACUUUAAAUCCUUUAAAAUAAAGUUGAAUUUGAUCAUCAACCUUUUAAAAAUAGCCAAAUUAUUAUUUAACGGAAAUGUUAAAUUUUGAAAUACAUAUAACAAUUCGUGUGUAUUUCAUAUUAUUUUUUUAAAAAUUUUUAUGAUUUUUUUGAAAUUUUGAUUUUUGAAUAUUAUUAGAAAAUUAUUUGGAACAUUGUUAGUGGAGUUUUUAACCUCCACCAACAAAAUCAAUGGGUUAAUAAGUGUCUUACAAGGAUAUAAUAAAAUAUUAAAAAAUAUAUUUUUUAAAAUAUAUAUAUGUUAAUUUUUUAAAGUUGUGGAAUAAAAAGAAUAUAUUAUUGGCGUACCAAAUACUCACCUUUUUAAUUAAGAUUUAAAAAUAAAAAAUAGUUAGUAAAAUGAAUGGAUUGCAAAUUGAGAAAUUUGAUAUUGAAUAUUAAAAUUUUCUUAAAAAGAAGACAUACGAAAGUUAGUGAUUUAUUUGAUUUAAUUUCAAUUUUUAAAUUUAUGCAUUUUAUUAUGAAUUUUUAUUCUUUGUGUACUCUGUAUAAUUUGUUUGAAAUUUUCAAUUUUCAAUUUCUCACAUGAGUUUGAGAUAUAAAAAAAAUUACUCUUAGGACUGGUGAAACAGUCGAUACUUAUCAUAUGUUGAUGAUUUUGUUCUUCAAAAUAUUGUCUACAGAUAGGAUAUCAGAGUUCUAUUAUUAGAGUUUCGUUAAAAAGUCGAAAGUUCUAUUUUAGCCUAGGACUCUAGGAGUUCUGUUAUCGAUAUUCUAAUUAUGAUCAUGAUCUAUAAAAAAUAUGAGUAACAUGUGAUACGUAAAUGAAAAUUUGUAUGAUAUGAUAAGUCAUAAAUUAAGUGAAAAUGUAUGAAAGUGUAUGAUUAUAUGAAAGACAAAAAUAAUUAAUUUAAUUUAAUGAUUUGUAAAAUUGAAAAGUAAAAUACAUGAAUUAUGUAAGAGAAUGUUGAUGAUCAAUAUGUGGUAUGUAAAUGACAAGGAAAAAAUUAUAUGACCAAAUACUAAAAUAAAUGAAUAAUGAAAUUAGCUAAAUACUUUGUAAGUUCAAAAGUAGGUUGCAUUAAAUAAAUAAGAUUAUGUUAUUUCAUAGUAUAAGUAGUUUGUUAAUUUGUUUUAAUUUAAAUUAUUUAAAACAUGCUAAAAUAAAUGAAUUGGUAAGCUACCAAAUUUAGUUACAUACUUACUAUCGCGUUUGUAGAAGGCAAAAACAAUAAAGGUUCAAAUAUUUCUGCUUAAAUUUGGAACACUUCACUCCUCAAACUUCAAGUUCAAGCUCUUUGAUAUAUAAAUUUUGGACCUUAAUUUGACACGUACUUAAGCUUAUUAGUAAUAAUGUGAAUUAUGUACGAAAGAUUUAUAUUAUAAAGUACCUCGGUUAUAAUGAAAUAAGAAUAAAUUGAAGUGACGAGUUUAGUGUUAAAUGUAGCAUCUCUUAUUCAAAUUUGUUAUCGGAUCAGGUGAGAGUUGUUACAGCUAGAAUAUAAAUUACCAUUUCUUUUUUCUUAAGAUAGACGUAUUUUUUUUUAUUAAUUCGUACAUAAAAUUAAUGAUAUUUUUACUAAAAUAUUAAAUUCGAACAAGGAAUUUAAGAAAAAAAAACAUUUUAGCCAACAACAUAUUCUUUGUAGGAUCAAAAACAUUAAUGCAAGAAACUUAAAACAAGGAAUCAAAAGUCUAGAACAAGCAAUCAAACUUAUUUUAUAUGAUCCACCAUUAAAAUUUUAGAAUAUGAUAAACAAGCAAUCAAAUAUUAAGUGCACAAUUUUAGAUUUACUGUACAAGAGCCGAGAAUGAGAUCAGAUGGCUUCCUACAAUUAAUUAAACCGUGUUGCAGUACCUCUCUGGCAUAAACUUCGCUUGUAAACUUCUAUAAGUUGUCACUUCAAUGACCUUCAUCAACUUGCAGCUCUAAUCUAAAUUGUAGAAAACCAAUUGAUAACGAAUUCACAAUCCACGGAUUGUGGCCUUAUAAUGCUAAUAACAAAUCAAUGUCUCAUUAUGAUUCACAUAAUCCAUACACCGGUGGAUAGGUGCAAGGAUUGUUUGAAUCAUAAGGGAGCAUUGAUUUGUUCUUAGCAUUAUGUGUCCAUAUACCAUGGAUCUUGAACUCAUUAAGAAUUGGUGGUCUACAACUCAGAUUAGAGCUACAGGCUAAUAAAGGCCAUUGAAGAAAAAGCUUACGAAAAUUACAAGCGAAGUUGAUGCCGGUAGGAGUGCUGCAAAUGCUGCUCAAAAUGAAAAGAGAAGAGCAAGAGGAGUACUCUCUCUCUCUCUCUCUAUAUAUAUAUAUAUAAAAGUAUAUACUCUUCUCCAUGCUGCACAUUAUUGCAAAAAAAGAAAACACACAAGGGACCAAUCUUUGAUCUUCGCAAAGGUCAUUUGAGAUCAAAGGAGAAGAACAAGAAAAACAAAGGUAAGGGGUUUGAAGAAAGAGCCAAAUAUAUAUAGAAAAAUUUGAGAGAGAGGAUGCGUUUCAUUUAAAGAUUAAAUGUUUCUUUUUUUUGGCUAAAAACAUUUCUUUGAUCCCUCUCAAUUUUGAUAUUGAGUAAAUUGGCCCCUUUCUAAAAAUUUUGGAGAAAUUUGAUCAUUGUUGAUUUUGAAAGUGAGCAACUAAGUACAAUUAAUCACAACGUUUAUGUUUUUCAUCAGUUCUAUAAUUUUCACAUUCCAUCAAUUUGGUCCUGAUUUAACAAAUUUAGCCCGUAAUAUUUACACAUUUUGUCAACAGUUUCGAAACGUUGGGCUUCGAAAACCUUACCAGCCUGCAGUUUUAUAGAUGUAGCAGCUUGAAGUACAUAUUUACUCCGUCUAUGCUUUUGAGCCUCAAUCAACUACAAUGGCUAGAAGUAAAAGAAUGCAGUUCAAUGGAACAAGUGGUUAGGGAGGAGGAGGAAGCAAUGACACAGUCGUGUUCCAACUUGACAAAUUUCCAUUGGGGAAGUCAAGCUCUUGAAUUUCCACGGCUGAGUAAUAUCAGGAUAGCGGAGUGUCCAAAAAUGACUGCAUUUUCUUCCUCAGUUUCAAGAGAGAGUGGUGAUGCAAGUGAAAGCGUGGUUGGCGAAGGGGGCAUCUAUGAUAACACUGCAACUUUUUUCAGCAAUAAGGUAAGUUUGGUUUUCAAUAUUUAUCUGCACAACUUAUUUAUCAACCUUGUCAAAAUUGAAUAUAAUAAAAUCCAUAAAAAUAUUAAUAAAUAAGAUAAUANNNNNNNNNNNNNNNNNNNNNNNNNNNNNNNNNNNNNNNNNNNNNNNNNNNNNNNNNNNNNNNNNNNNNNNNNNNNNNNNNNNNNNNNNNNNNNNNNNNNAAGUAUAAAUAAAUAUAUAAAAUAAGAAUUGAAGGAAAAACUUAAAGUGAAAUACUAAAAAACAAAAAGAAUUUAAGAGAAGUUUAAAAUUAAAUAGAAAUAGACAAUAAAUAAUAAAAUAAUAAUAGAAAAAAGAAAACUAAUCUUCCUUUAUUUUAAUUUGUGGGUGUAUAAGAAGGACAUAAUUGUGGAAGACCUUCACAAAGGUCAUUUGAGAUCAAAAUAAGGAGAAGAAGCAUGAAAACAAAAGGUGAGGAGUUUGAAGAAGAAAGAACCAAAUAUAUAGAGGAGAAUUGAAGUGAGAGAGUGGAUGGGUUCUUUUUAAAGAUUUAAUGCUUUUUUUUUUAAUUUCAUAUAUAGAAAAAAUCAUUGAAAGAAAAAAAAGUUCAAUAUAAUUAUUUAAAUUUACUUGUCGGGUUUUUAUAAAAGUAACUCAAAUUUUUUAUUAAUUAUGAAAAUGAAUCAAUUUAAAAAUUAUGUACAUAAAUUAUUCGAUUUCUAUAGUGUUUGUCGGUGCCGCCAGACACAAUGGUGGCACCGACCUACCAUCAUCGACCAAUGAUUGCAUUUUAUUUGAAAAUAAUAGUUUUUUAGUAGUGUCGUUGGAAAAAUUGGCAAUAUCAAACUGAAGUGUGAUUAUAUAAAAUGUUUAUGGACUUGACGAAGUACUUAUCCUUUUUUUAAUUAGCAGAAAAAAAGGGGUCUUCCGUGAAUAUGGGGCACCAAAUUAAAUGCUUUUCAUCUUUUGGUCUAUUUGCAUGUUAGGUCUAUCCCCUUUUGAAAUUAUAUUUAAAUAACCCUUAAGAAAUAUAAGAAUAAUAAAAAUAAACCAUUCUUAUUUAUUUAUUUAUUUUAAAAAUAACUUAAAAAUUAUAUAAAUUACUUAUUCAAAUUAUCCAAAUAUAUCCCUCACACAAUUUCCUCAAGUUUAUCUAAAUUCAAGUAUUUUCAAUUCAUUCCCUAGCAUAUUUAAAUUUAGAUAAACUUAAAGAAAUUUUUUGAGGAAUAUAUAUAUUUGGAUAAUUUGAAUAAGAACUUUAUAUAAUUUUUUAAGUAUUUUUUCAAAAAAAUGAAAAUAGUUUAAUUUUGUUAUUCUUAUAUUUUUUAAGUGCUAUUUAAAUUUCAAAAGAGGACAAACGUAACAUGCAAAUAGGUCAAAUGUUGAAAAACAUUUAAUUUGGUUCAGAUACCAAACGCCACCUCUUUUUCAACCAAUCUAAAAAUGUUAACCGCUUCAAAAGAUCCCUACACGUUUUAUAUAAUCACAUUCAUUCUGGUGCCGUCAAUUUAUUAGGCAAAAUUACUACAAUUUUAUUUAAAAAGCAAUCAUUGGCUGAUGAUGGAGACCAAUGCAGUAAGCACUAUAGAAAUCAAGUCAUUUACGUAUAUGAUUUUUAAGUUGGAUCAUUUUCGUAAUUAACCAAAAAAAAUUUGGUUACUUUUCAAUAAACAGGUAUUUGUUUGGCUUUACUUAUAUUUUCUUAUACAACUUUUAUUUAUAUGCCCAUUAAUACUUCUAAUAAUUGAAAUAAAUAAUAUUGUGUAAUGGUUUUUCCGGAGCUCAAAAAUAAAUUUCAAUUCCAAAACAAAUGAAAAUUUAAUUUUUAAUUCAAACCGAUUGAAAGUACAAAGUCAAUUCAAUAAUCUAAAUUUAAACCCAACAAUUUUUUUUUUAAAUUCUGAAAAUAAAAUUUGAGCCCACAAAUCGAACUAAAAUUAUCUUUAAAAUCGAAAAUCAUAUUUUCAAAUUAUGUUACAUACUAUCUUUCCCUAUCGAAAAAGAAUUGUGUGUAAAUAUGUGCAAUUUAUUUUCCCUCACUUGGAAAGCUUGUAAUUGUGUUCCAUUAACACCAAAAUAAUAUGGCACAACCAGACAUGUCAUUGGGUUACGAAUUUGAGGAGGUUGAUCAUCAAAGGAUGCGGCAAGUUGGAGCAUCUGUUAUCACCCUCUCUCGCUAGAAGUCUGGUGCAGCUCCAAUGCUUUGAGAUAGAGGAUUGCGAUUGCUUAAGGGACAUAAUACUUACAGAGGAAAUUGAAGAAGAAAGGAAAGAUGUGAUUUGUUUCCCUCGAUUAAACUCCCUGCAUAUAGUGGGUCUUCCAAACCUCAUCUUCUUCAGCUCAGGAAACCACAAUAUUGAGUUCCCAUUGUUGAAAGAGCUAAAGAUUGAGCGUUGCCCCAAGUUAAUAGAAUUCAUUAGUCAGAAUAGUAAUCAGUCCGGCAUGCACGCUCUCUUCAGUGAGAAGGUGAUUUAUUUCAGUAGUCUUACACUCUUGCAUAAAUCUGUUGAUUUGUCCUUGUUUUUUUUUCUGCCUUCAUUACUUGAGCUAACCUUAUUAUGGGCAUGGAUUAUAUAUAUAUAUAUAUAUGAAUAGGUUGCAGUUCCUAGCUUGGAAGACAUGAAUAUCUCGGGCUUGAGUAAUGUGAAGAUGAUAUUUUAUAAUGACCUAGCACCAGGUUCCUUUAAAAAUCUACGAGAAAUAAAUGUUCGGCGAUGUGGGAGUUUGAAUAAUCUAUUUCCAGUAUCAAUAGCCGAAGAUCUUCCACAACUUGAACAUUUACGCAUCACUGAUUGUGGAGUUGAGGAGAUUGUAUCGAAAGGGGAUGGAGUGGAGGAUUGCAAGUGUUUAAGGGACAUAAUACUUACCGAGGAAAUUGAAGAAGAAAGGAAAGAUGUGAUUUGUUUCCCUCGAUUAAACUCCCUGUGCAUAUAGAUUGUCUUCCAAACCUCAUCUUCUUCAGCUCAGGAAACCACAAUAUCGAGUUCCCAUUGUUGGAAAAUCUAUGGAUUGAGCGUUGCCCCAAGUUAAUAGAAUUCAUUAGUCACAAUAGUAAUCAGUCCGGCAUGCACGCUCUCUUCAGUGAGAAGGUGAUUUAUUUCAUUAGUCUUACACUCUUGCAUAAAUCUGUUGAUUUGUCCUUGUUUUUUUUUUUCUGCCUUCAUUAUUUGAGCUAACCUUAUUAUGGGCAUGGAUUAUAUAUUUAUAUAUAUAUAUAUAUAUAUAUAUAUAUGAAUAGGUUGCAGUUCCUAGCUUGGAAGACAUGAAUAUCUUUAACUUGAGUAAUGUGAAGAUGAUAUUUUAUAAUGACCUAGCACCAGGUUCCUUUAAAAAUCUACGAACAAUAAGGGUUUGGGGAUGUGGGAGUUUGAAAAAUCUAUUUCCAGUAUCAAUAGCCAAAGAUCUUCCACAUCUUGAACGUUUAAGCAUCUGCGGUUGUGGAGUUGAGGAGAUUGUAUCGAAAGGGGAUGGAGUGGAGGAGCAGCCUGUGAGGUUUGAGUUUCCGCAAGGUUUGAGUUUCCGCAAGUGUCUUACCUUGAUGUUAGUGGGGUAGAAAAGCUCAAAUGUUUCUAUGAAGGGCAACAUACAAUAGUCUGGCCGAUGUUGAAAAAAUUGAUAACAGAUAGUUCUGCUUUGCUAAAGAUAGUGGCAUGGGAACAUCUUAGAUUAAUCCAAGGAAAUGAGGAGCCAGUUUUGUUGGGUGAAGAGGUAUGUAUAUCAUUACAACUAUAUUUCUUUUUAUGAUUUAAACCACUGCCACAAGCAUCUCAAGUUGAAAUAUGCCACGAUAAUGCAUUUCUAAUUAUUAUAUUUUUUUUCGUAUUUUUGAAUUUUCAAUAUAUAUAUAUUUUAAAUUUUUUGUUACAUUUAUAAAUAUUUUUUCAAUUUUUAAAAACAAGACUGAAUAAACAUAAUAGGUAAAUAUUGAGUGUUAAUCUUGACUUUUUAGAAUGUAGUUCAAUUUGAUAAAAUGUAUAAGUGUUGAGGGUUAAAUUAAUUAUUAUGCAAAAAAAAAAUUUGCUACAUUAGCAUUCCGUUAGUGACUUUGCAGUAUAGCAAUUAAGAUAUUCAAUUUCUCCAACAGCAGUGGUUAAAUUGAAAUUUUAUUUGGUUUUAAGUGACCAAAAUGAAAAUAUUUUAACACUUAAGUGACUAUAUAUGUAAUUUACCCUGCAUUUAAGUAGUGGGUCGAAACAAAAUAUAACGUUUAAUUUGCUAAAAAAAAAUCGCCACUCAAUAAAAAGUCAAAAUUUUAAAAGUUAAUUACACUAGACAUCUCAAACUAUGACCUUCAUUUUAAAUUAGUCCCAAAAUUUAAAAUAUUCUAAUUACAUUCUUAAACUAUUGAGGUUAUAUCAAUUAGGUUUUUCUGUUAUUAAAUUCGUUAAUUUAACCAUCAAAUUAAAUCAGUGUAUUAUCUACACUGUUCUGCUUAUAUUUUUUUAUCAUAGAAAAAUAAAAUUAUAUACAUAUAUAUAGCAAUGGUUGUUUAUCUAUUUUAAUCUAGAUUUGCUACUCUUCUUUCGGCUUUCAUGUUCUGUAAUUUUUAUCAGUUUUUAUUCUCAAGGUAUUGUGUUUUCUUAAAACAAAAAAUUCAUCUAUUCUGGAUUCGUUUGAUUUAAUAUUGAUUUUGUUGGGAUUUAAUCAUCAAAAUCAAACACUUAAAUUGUAUAUCUUUUUUUUUGUUUGUUUGUUUUUUUAAAGCAUAUACAUCAACAUUGAGCCUAACUUGUUUAUAUUUAAUUGGUUUCCUAGGUCAUUCCCAAAUUAGAGGAACUUGUGUUACGAAAUUGUGGUGAUAUGGACCAAUUUCCACCAGACUUGUUUCAACAUAUUAAAGUUUUUGCAGCGAGUGAUGGCUCUCCAUUUUCUAUAUUUCCUUUCGUCCGAAGAUUCUACAAUCUGGAAAGACUUCAGUUUACUCAUUUAGAUUUCAAACAUGUAGUCCCUUGUAAAGGAGACGCCGGGACUCUCCCACCAAUUAGAAAUCUGAAAUUGUUUUCUGCCGGAAAUCUUAAUCAUAUUUGGAGGAAAGAUUCGGAGCUUGACCAUAUUCUUUCUAAUCUUCAAACACUCACAGUUCAGAAUUGUGAUGAUUGGAUAAAUAUUGGAGUGUUCUCAUCAUCUUUACAAAAUCUCACAAUUUUGAAUGUGUCAUUUUGUAAAAUGAUGACAAACUUAGUCACCCCCUCAGUACUUAAGAAUCUUGUGCAAUUAACGACAAUAAAGGUAGAAGACUGCACUAAAAUGACAGAAAUAGUGGGAAACGAGGGAGACUGUCAUCAGACAAUAGUUGUUAGUAAACUGAAAUGUUUACAACUAUGCAAUUUGAAGAGCCUCACAAGCUUUUGUCCACGGUAUUACAGCUUCGAGUUUCCUUGUUUGGAAGAAUUAGUUGUGGAAGGUUGUCCAUGGUUAAAGAUCUUUUCUGAGGGAGUUUUAAGCACCCCACAAUUACAGAGAAUAAAACGGUCGCAUUACGGUGAGGAAUGGAGUUGGACAAGUGACCUUAAUACCACCAUACAACAGAUCUACACAGAAAAGGUACAAAGUUAAUAAGUUCAUAAUGCUAGCUAGAUUCCUCCUGUCCUAAUACAAUUAAUUUUAUUACUACUUCAAUAACCAUUGAAGAAUGUUAAUUGUUAUUUUGUCAUUGUCUGCAUUUUCUAUUUAUGGUUGCUAUCUAGUGGAAUAAUAUCAGAUUAAUUUUUAGGAUGGACUCUAUGAUUUCAACAUCUCUGACACAUUUCCGGAGUCGAUAGAAAUAUGGACUAGAAACCCUCAAGAAAUUUUGGGCUUCAAAAACCUUAGCAGCCUGCAGUUUUAUAAAUGUAGCAGCUUGAAAUACAUAUUUACUCCGUCUAUGCUUUUGAGCCUCAAUCGACUCCGAAGGAUAGAAGUGGAAGAAUGCAGUUCAAUGGAACAAGUAGUUAGGGAGGAGGAGGAAGCAAUGACACAUAAAUUUACAUUUCUUUCGCUACGCUCCGUAACAAUUGAGUCGUGUUCCAACUUGACAAAUUUCCAUUGGGGAAGUCAAGCUCUUGAAUUUCCAGAGCUGAGUAAUAUCAGGAUAGCGGAGUGUCCAAAAAUGACUGCAUUUUCUUCCUCAGUUUCAAGAGAGAGUGGUGAUGCAAGUGAAAGCGUGGUUGGCGAAGGGGGCAUCUAUGAUAACACUGCAACUUUUUUCAGCACUAAGGUAAGUUUGGUAUUCAAUAUUUAUCUGCACAACUUAUUUCACAUUUUCUUUUGAUUUGAUCAACAUGAGUGUGUCUGGUCUAUAUAUACAUACUAGUGCAACACCUUGCCAAAAUUGAAUAUAAUAAAAUGCAUAUAUUAAUAAAUAAGAUAAUAUUUUAAAAAAAAUUGGAGUUUAAAGUAUAAAUAAAUAUAUAAAAUACGAAUUGAAAGGAAAAUAAUAAUAGAAAAAAGAAAACUAAUCUUCCUUUAUUUUAAUUUGUGGGUGUAUAAGAAGGAGAUAAUUGUGGAAGACCUUCACAAAGGUCAUUUGAGAUCAAAGGUGAGGAGUUUGAAGAAGAAAGAACCAAAUAUAUAGAGGAGAAUUGAAGUGAGAGAGUGGAUGGGUUUUAUUUAAAGAUAAUAUUUAAUGCUUUUUUUUUUUAAUUUCAUAUAUAGAAAAAAUCAUUGAAAGAAAAAAAUUCAAUAUAAUUAUUUCAAUUUACUUUUCGGGUUUUUAUAAAAGUAACUCAAAUUUUUGAUUAAUUAUGAAAAUGACUCAAUUUAAAAAUUAUGUACAUAAAUUAUUUGAUUUCUAUAGUGUUUGUCGGUGCCGCCAGACACAAUGGCGGCACCAACCUACCAUCAUCGACCACUGAUUGGCGGCACCGACCUACCAUCAUCGACCACUGAUUGUCUUUUAUUUAAAAAAAUAAUAGUUUUUUAGUAGUGUUGUUGGAAAAAUUGGCGAUAUCAGAUUGAAAUGUGAUUAUAUAAAAUGUUCAUGGACUUAACGAAGUAAUUACCCUUUUUUAAUUAGCGGAAAAAGGGGUCUUCCCGUGAAUAUGGGGCACCAAAUUAAAUGAUUUUCAUCUUUUGGUCUAUUUGCAUGUUAGGUCUAUCCCUUUUGAAAUUAAAUUUGAAUAACCCUUAAGAAAUAGAAGAAUAACAAAAAUUGGUGAUAUUAAACUGAAAUGUCGUCGGAAAAAUUGGUGAUAUUAAACUGAAAUGUGAUUAUAUAAAGCGUUCAUGGAUUUGACGAAGUAGUUAUCCUUUUUUAAUUAGUGAAAAAAGGGGGUUUUGCCGGUCAGUAUGGCGGCACCAAAUUAAAUGCUUUUCAUAUUUUGGUCUAUUUAUAUUUUAAGUUUGUCUUUUUUUUAAAUUAAAUUUAAAUAAUCCUUAAGAAAUAUAAGAAUAAAAACAAACCACUCUCAUUUAAAAAAAAAUAAACUUCAAAAAGUAUAUAAAAUUCUUAUCUAAAUUACCUAAAUAUAGCCCUCACAAAAUUUCCUCAAGCUUAUCUAAAAUCAAAUGUUUUCAAUUCAUUCCCUAGCAUAUUUAAAUUUAGAUAAAUUUGAGGAAAUUUUUUAAUUUGAAUAAGAAUUUUAUAUAAUUUUUAAAGUAUUUUUAAAAAUAAAAAUAAAAAAUGAGAAGUAUUUUUUAAAGUAUUUUUAAAGCGUGCAGUUUUGGCAAACAUACAGUCUGCAAAAAGAUGAUCUCUUGUUUCUUGGUUCCCUUGACAUAGCAAACAAUGACCUUCAAUGCUCAUCCCUCCUCCAACAACCUUUUAGCAUGAUAACUCUUCAACUUUACAAAAAAAAAAAAAAAAUCCAUUUAAAUUUUCAUCUCUUUCAGGCAUUGAAUUUUCAUUUUUGUGACAUAACAAUUAAAUAAGUAAUUAUGCUUAACAUUUUUUAAAUUAUUUUAAGUAAUUAAUGUAAAUCAUUAAUGGAAACUACAUAAAUAUGUGAGUCCAACUUUAUUAAAAACAAGCAUAUUCCCCUGUCGAAUUGCUUUAAUAAUAAUCAUUCAACAAUCAUUAUAGCAAAUAUGAAAGCUCGAGGUUUAAAAAAAAAAAAACAAAUUUUGCUUUAGGUUAGAUUUAUGCUACUGAACAUUUCAUCUAAUAAAAAGGGUUCACGUCUCCUAGCUGUAUUUAUCACUUUAACUGUAGAGUGAGUUGAUAUUUGAAUAUUAACCUUAACUUAUCAGUUUAUAAAUCUUUAUACUCAUCUACUUGUUUUGAUUAUAUUUACAAGUAAAGAAGGAAGAGUGAUAUUAUCUUCUAAUGAAAUUUAUGUCAACAGGUUGUCAUUCCUCGUUUGGAGAAUCUGGAAUUGUCCUCCAUUAACAUUCAUAAGAUAUGGCACCAACCAUCUUCCCCAUCUGUCGGAUGCCUAAAUUCCUUGCAAGUGAACAGGUGUCACAAUUUGAAAUACCUGUUCCCGUCUUUCAUGGUAAAAGAUCUUGUGCAACUCCGACGCCUUGAAAUUUGGGACUGUAAUAUGAUGGAACAAGUAAUAUUCACGGAUGGAUUGGUUGAGGAACAUCAAGGGAGGAAUCAGAUGUUUUUCUCUGAACUAGAAAUGCUCUGGCUAGAAGACCUUCCCAAACUCACAAGUUUGUGCUUUGAAAAUUACUUUGAAUUCCAAUGUUUGACAGGUUUAGAACUAAUAAAUUGUCCAUUGCUAAAAACUUUCAUCACUAAAUGUGUAUCCGAAGAUGAACCUGAAAUUGGCCAACAUGUACAAGCUAGUAACUUGGAGGUUCAUAACUCAUCUCUCCUCAAUGAAAAGGUCAAUUCUUUACGGGUUCUCCUUUUAAUUUAUGUUACUUCAAUUGAUCUUACUCGUUUCAAGUUCUUUCUUUUCCAUGCAUAUUUCAGUUAUUAACCUAAUGAAAUGAUUUAGCAGGUUGUUUUCCCUAGUUUGAAGGAGUUGCGGAUUCAGAAUUGUGAUUCCUUAGAACAAAUUAUUGAGCUGCAAGGAGUCAUUGCUGAUGAGUCACAGUCAACAUCAGCUGCUCAAUCUAUUAUGGCUGAAACAGAGACGACCAAGUUUGUAUUUCCCAAACUAGUAAACCUCGGAUUGGAUAAGGUGCCGAGAUUGAAAAGUUUCUACUCUAGGAUGCAUGCCACCCGGUGGCCUUCAUUGAAACGAAUGGCCAUUAUUGAAUGCCCCAAAGUACAGAUAUUUACUCCACAAUGUCCUGAGUGUCAGGUUGGAAUCUCAAGCCAACAACCCUUGUUUUCCGUCAAUGAGGUGAGCUCACUAACAGUUUCAUACUCCAUGUUCAUUACUUGAGAUUANNNNNNNNNNNNNNNNNNNNNNNNNNNNNNNNNNNNNNNNNNNNNNNNNNNNNNNNNNNNNNNNNNNNNNNNNNNNNNNNNNNNNNNNNNNNNNNNNNNNUAACUAAUAUUCUCACCUUCCUUUUAAAUUUAUGAGAAAGAAAAUGGAAAUUAUAUUUAUUUUGUAGUCUAGUUCUUACUAAUUGAAAACUCUUUGAUCGAUGUUUAAUAUAUUCGUUGCCAUCCAGGACACUUUCCCUGUAUUAGAAGAACUAACACUGACGACGAAUGAUAUGGUAAAGGGGAUAUGUGAUGGACAACUCUCAUUGCAGUGUUUCCAAAACCUUAAGCAUCUUAAUCUCCAAUUCUUUCCUGAGACAUCCACUACUCUUCCGUAUUCCUUUAUUCGGUCACUACCAAAGCUUCAUAAGCUUGUUGUAGACAAUGCUUCCAUUUGUCAAAUAGUACAAUCUGAAGGACUCAGCGACCAGGAAAGGCAUACAUCAGCAUUCUAUCAGCUAAAGGAAUUAAGUUUGUCUCAACUUCCAGAGUUGACGUUAAAGACUUUUGAACCAUCUUUGCUGUCUUUCAAAAAUCUAACAACACUGAAAGUUUCAAGAUGCCAUGGGUUCAUCAAUUUAAUCGCAUGCUCAACGGCUAAGUGCCUGACGCUACUGGAAAGAUUGAGCAUAGAUGAUUGUGAGAUGAUAGAGGAAAUCAUAACGUGUGAGGCUGAAGAAAUACAAGGCGGCAUUGUAUUUCCCAAACUGAAGUAUUUGCAGCAAGUUGCCUGCCAUGUCUAGCAAGCUUUUCCUUGGCCCAUCACUCGUUGGAAUUCCAAGUCUUGCUAAUGGUGAUGGUGACGAAGUGCCCCCAAAUGAGGAAUUUCUGCCAAGGAGAUUUAAGCACACCAAGGCUGGAACAAAUGCACUUAACAAGAGAUGAGGAAGGUGAACUGCAGUGGAAAGGCGACCUUAACACUACCAUAAAACAUAUGUUCGAUGAAAUGGUACAAAUCAUUUAAAGGAUUUAAAUUCAUGUGUUUUUACAUACGUAGAUAGUUAAUUGAACAAUUCUUGGUUUGUUAUGAUCAUCCACAGAAUGUGCAAAAUUCUGACGUGACGGAGGCUACUGAUCAGUUGCCCAAGCUGGAAUAAGGAAAUAUGUUUGGGUGCUUAUGCGAAAAGCUCAAUUUCGUUUGAAUUCAAAACAAAUGGUAAUUGACUCUUCUAUUUUCAUCAUGGCUUAACUAAUGCUUUAUAAAGUGACCAUAGAGACGCCCUUUUCAUUGUAGGUUGAGUUGCUCUACUGAAGUACGAGGCUGCAACUUUUGGUAAAAUGUGAAAGGUUAUUUCAGUUUUUGUAAAACUACUAUUUGAACUGUUCCAUUUCACAUUAUACCCUCAAAAUUGAACUUCAAGUGCAUCAUGCAUGGCAUUGGGCUACAAACAUGUAAACUUUUACUCGUAAGGUUGACCCCUGUUUUAAGGAUUUGCCAACUUUUGAUGGUUACCAUAUCAAUGUCAGCUUAAAGCUAUCAAGCAUCUUUACAAAUAUAAUAUAUAUAUAUAUAUAUAUAUAUAUAUAUAUUAUUCCUUAACGAGGGAUAAAAGUAGGCAGCUAUCUACCAAUGAUACGGCUGAUUCUGAAAAGACGGCCGAAAUUGAAUCAAUGGGUUGUUGGUAUUUGCCUGAUGGAAGAACAGGGCCUAAUGUUACGUGGAUUCUGAUCAAGUUUUAAAUUUUCAGUUGUGGGCAUUACUGAUUGUUGUCAUUUGGUUGUUGAUCCUCUGAUUUUACGGUUGACUGUCUUGCUUAUACGUUGCAAGGUUGGCGGGUCUCAAGUAUGAAUUUCCAAGCCGGCUAUCAUCCAUAAUUAACUAGGUGUUCCAAUCCAUGGAGUUUAUGGUUUAUUAGUGUAACUGUCCAUUUGGUUAUGGAUUGGUUCUUAAGGUGUUUUGAUACUUUGUAUGUUACAGUGUUUGCUCCAAGCAACACCCUUUAAUUUCUAAGGAAUUUUAUUCGUUGAGGAAAAAAAAAAUGAGGAUUACUCUGAUAUUUUAUGUUUGGGUUUAUGAAGAUUUUUGUAUGUUUAAUGAAAGAAAGCAAAUAAAAUAGAGACGUACAAGAUCACAUCCAUAGAUCAACAAAAGGGUUUAAUAUUUCCAUAAAAAAUUGUCCCAAAAAGGCCUUUUUAUGGGAAUUGAUCAUAUAAACUAAUGAAGGCCAUUGAAAAUAAAGCUUGUAAAAAUUUACAAAAGGAAUUGAUGAGAAUUUGAUACACUAUUCNNNNNNNNNNNNNNNNNNNNNNNNNNNNNNNNNNNNNNNNNNNNNNNNNNNNNNNNNNNNNNNNNNNNNNNNNNNNNNNNNNNNNNNNNNNNNNNNNNNNGAGUUUAUGGCCUUGUAGGAGCCUCUCCCCAAAUCGCUAGCAAAUGAAACAAAAGGAUUAAUGCACUUCGAUAAUGGCAGAUUUAUAUUUGUUACGAAAGGUCAAGAGCCCAAGCCAUCUCAUGCGACAGCUUUCCCUUAAAGCAUUCGUGGCUGAGUCUAGUAUUAAUUUUUAUUUGUAUCUUUUAUAUCCGUUUUAUAAUUCAUAUUUGGGAUUUGUAUUAUGCACUUAAUAUUUCAUUAUUUGUUGUCUAUGUUGCUCAUUGUUGCAAAAAGAAGAACCAAACACAAUGCAUGCAUAAACCAUAAAAAAGAAAAAAAAAAGAACAUAAGCAACUAAUAAUGAAAUAUAUUAAAAUCAAGAAUGGCAAUUGAUUUCAGAAUUACCCCAAUUUCGGUAAAUAUAUUAAAACAUGUGUCUGUAAUCUGUUUCAAUUUCGAUAUUGAAAAAAUUGGUAUUUCUAAAAAUAUCAGAGUUAUUCAAUCAUUUUCAUUUUUGAAAGUGAUAAGUUAAAGACAAUUAAUUACAACGUUAAUGUUUUUCAUCAAUUAUACAUAAUUUUCUUGGUAUAAUAAUAAAUUUAGCCCUCAAAGUUGACACAUUCUAUCAAUUUGUUAUUGAUUUAACUAAUUUAACCCACAAUAUUUACACAUUUUGUCAAUUUGAUCAUGAUUUAACAUAUUUAACCCGUAAUAAUUACACAUUCUAUCAACAUUUACACAAAAUAUAUAAUCAUCAAGGAUUAAAUUUAUUUUUAUACUAAUCAAAAUUAUGUAUAAUUAACAGAAACUACUAGCGCUUGAUCUAUUGUUCGUGGUUACUUUCAAAAUUGAUAAGGAUCAAAAUUACUCUAUUUCUUUUAGAGUGACCAAUUUGUUCAAUAUCAAAAAGAUAUUUUUUACUUAUUUUAAUUUCAUAGGUAAGAAAAUCUCAAAAAAGAAAAUCUUUGAAAUAAAAAAAAAAUAGUAUGUUUUAUAUAAUUAUUUAAAGUUACUCUCACAUUAUUUUUUACACAUUCAAAGCUAGCAAGUCUUUUAUGUACAAAUGGUGUAGCUCUGCAAUUUGGAUUAGCAUGUUGGUCACCUCCAUGUGAAGUGAAAGAAAAUUGACAAUGUCACACAAUUAUUAUUUUUCCCUCCGUACCCCUAUGCCACCAAAGAAAGUUGAAUUAUCAAGGCACAAAAGUACUAAGGAGUAGGAGCUAGAAAAAGAGGGGCAUGAAAAUAAAGAGAGUUACAUAUAUUAUUAUUAUUUGCAUAAUACAAAAUUAGUCUUUAAUAUUUAAACAUAUUAUUAUUAUUAUUAUUUUAAUUUAGAUAAAUUUAGCUUUAAAUCCUUUAAAAGAGUUGAAUUUAAUCAUCAACCUUUUAAAAAGAGUCAAAUUAUUAUUUAACGGAAACGUUAAAUUUUGAAAUACAUAUAACAAUCCACGUGUAUUUCAUAUAUAUAUUUUUAAUUUUUAUGAUUUUUUUUGAAACUUUGAUUUUUGAAUAUUAUUAGAAAAUUAUUUGGUACAUUGUUAGUGGAGUUUUUAAACUCCACCAACAAAAUCAAUGGGUUGACAAGUGUCUUACAGAGGUAAAUAAAAUAUUAAAAAUAAAUAUUUAAAAAAAAAAGAUAUAUGUCAAUUUUUUAAAGUUACUUGUGAAAUAAAAAUAAUAUAUUAUCAGAUUACCAAAUACUCACAUUUUUAAUUAAGAUUUAAAAAUAAAAAAUAGUUACUAAAAUGAAUGUGUUGCAAAUUGAGAAAUUUGAUAUUGAAUAUUAAAAUUUUCUUAAAAAGAAGACAAGAUAUAAAAGUUAGUGACUUAUCUGAUUUAAUUUUAAUUUUUAAAUUUAUGCAUUUUAUUAUGAAUUUUUAUUCUUUGUGUACUCUGUAAAAUUUGUCUGAAAUUUCUAAUUUUUAAUUUUCACAUGAGUUUAAGAUAGAAAAAAAUUUACUCUUAGGAUUGGUGAAACAGGGGUUACAAUCGAUACAAGAGUUCAGUUUACGAUAUGUUGAUGAUUUUGUUCUUCGAAAUAUUGUCUACAGGUAGGAUAUCGGAAAUCUAUUAUCAGAGUUUUGUUAAAAGGUCAAGAGUUCUAUUUUGGCCUAAGACUCUAGGAGUUCUAUUAUCGAUAUUCUAAUUAUGAUCCUGAUCUGUAAAAGAUAUGAGUAACAUGUGAUACGUAACUGAAAAGUUUUAUGGUAUGAUAAACCAUAAAUUAAGUGAAAAUGUAAGAAAGUGUAUGAUUAUAUGAAAGACAAAAAUAAUUUAUUUAGUUUAAUGAUCUGUAAAAUUGAAAAGUGAAAUACAUGAAUUAUAUAAGAGAAUGUUCAUGAUCGACAUGCGGUGUGUAAAUGACAAGGAAAAAAUUAUAUGACCAAAUAGUAGAAAUGAAUAAUGAAAUUAGUUAAAUACUUUGUAAGUUCAAAAGUAGGUUGCAUUAAAUAAAUAAGAUUAUGUUAUUUCAUAGUAUAAGUAGUUUGUUAAUUUGUUUUAAUUUAAAUUAUUUAAAACAUGCUAAAAUAAAUGAAUUGGUAAGCUACCAAAUUAAUCGUGUUUGUAGAAGGCAAAAACAAUAAAGGUUGAAAGAUUUCUGCUUAAAUUUGGACCACUUCACUCCUCAAGCUUCAAGUUCAAGCUCUUUGAUAUAUAAAUUUUGGACCUUAAUUUGGCAUGCACUUAAGCUUAUUAGUAAUAAUGUGAAUUAUGUACGAAAGAUAAUGUUUUGUGUUAUAAAGUACCUCAAUGAAAUAAGAAUAAAUUGAAGUGAUGAGUUUAGUGUUAAAUGUAGCAUCUCUUACUCAAAUUUGUUAUCGGAUUGAAUGAGAGGUAUUACUGCUAGAAUAUAAAUUACCCUUUCUUUUUUCUUAAGAUAGAUGUAUUUUUUUAUUAAAUUCGUACAUAAAAUGUUAUUUUUACUAAAAUAUUAAAUUUGAAAAAAGAAUUUAAGAAAAAAAAACAUUUUAGCCAACAAUAUAUUCUUUGUAGGAUCAAAAACAUUAAUGCAAGAAACUUAAAACAAGGAAUUGAAAGUCUAGAACAAGCAAUCAAACUUAUUUUAUAUGAUCCACCAUUAAAAUUUUAGAAUAUGAUAAACAAGCAAUCAAAUAUUAAGUGCACGAUUUUAGAUUUACUGUACAAGAGCCGAGAAUGAGAAAGCUAUCACAUCAGAUGGCUUCCUAUAAUUAAUUAAACCAUGUUGCAGUACCUCUCUGGCAUCAACUUCCGUUGUAAACUUCUAUAAGCUGUCACUUCAAUGACCUUCAUCAACUUGCCGCUCUAAUCUAAAUUGUAGAAAACCAAUUGAUAACGAAUUCACAAUCCACGGAUUGUGGGCUCAUAAUGCUAAUAACAAAUCAAUGUCUCGUUAUGAUUCACGUAAUCCAUACACCGGUGGAUAGGUGCGGGGAUUGUUUGAAUCAUAAGGGAGCAUUGGUUUGUUCUUAGCAUUAUGUGUCCAUAUACCAUGGAUCGUGAACUCAUUAAGGAUUGGUGGUCUACAACUCAGAUUAGAGCUAUAGGCUAACAAAGGCCAUUGAACAAAAAGCUUACGAAAAUUACAAGCGAAGUUGAUGCCGGUAGGGGUGCUGCAAAUGCUGCUCAAAAUGAAAAGAGAAGAACAAGAGGAGUACUCUCUCCCUCUCUCUCUCUCUAUUUAUAUAUAUAUAUACUCUUCUCCAUGCUGCACAUUAUUGCAAAAAAAGAAAACACACAAGGGACCAAGCUUAGAUCUUUUCAAAGGUCAUUUGAGAUCAAAGGAGAAGAACAAGAAAAACAGAGGCUAGGGGCUCGAAGAAAGAGCCAAAUAUAUAAAGGAAAAAUUAAGUGAGAGAGAGGAUGGGUUUCAUUUAAAGAUUAAAUGUUUCUUUUUUGGUAAAAAUAUUUCUUUGAUCCCUCUCAAUUUUGAUGUUGAGCAAAUUGGCCCCUUUAUAAAAAAAUUUGGAGAAAUUUGAUCAUUGUUGAUUUUGAAAUUGAGCAACUAAGUAUAAUUAACCACAACGUUUAUGUUUUUCAUCAGUUCUACAAUUUUUUCUUGGUAUAAUAAAAAAUAUAACCUUCAAAGCUUACACAUUUUGUCAAUUUGACCUUGAUAUAACAAAUAUAACUCAUAACAUUUUCACAUUCCAUCAAGUUGGUCCUGAUUUAACAAAUUUAGUCCGCAAUAUUUACACAUUUUGUCAACAGUUACGCAGAAUAUAUAAACAUUAAUGGCUAAAUUUAUUAUUAUACCAAUCAAAAUUAUGUAUAAUGGAUAGAAAACAUUAACGCUACAAUUAAUUAUCCGUAGUUACUCACUUUUAAAAUUGAAAGGAAUUAAAUUGUUCUAAUUUUUUAAAAAGACUGAUUUACUUAAUAUCAAAAUUGAGAAAAAUCAUAAAGAUAAUUUUACUUUUCUUAAUUUAAUAGGUAAGGAAAUUUAAAAUCAUUGAAAUAAAGAAAAAGUAAGUUAUAUAUAAUUAUUUAAAGUCACUCUCACAUUAUUAUUUUUCCCAUUCAGAGUUGAAAAGUCUUUUAUGUAACAAAUGGUAUAGCUCUUCAAUUUGGGUUAACAUUUUGGUCCCCGCCAUGUGAUGUGAAGGAAAAUUGACAACAUAACACAAUCAAAUCUUUUUUUUCUGCCAUGCCCUUGUGCCUCCAAAGAAAGUUAAAUUAUUAAGGCACAAAAGUACCAAGGAGUAGAAGCUACCAAAAGAGGAGCAUGAAAAUAAAGAGAGAUACAUAUAUUACUGGCAUAAAAUAUUUACAUCUUUUAGGAUUUUUUAGUUAAAUUUAAUUUUAAAUUAAGAAAUAAUAAUGAUCAAAUUGACAAAAGAUGUAAAUAUUAAGUGCUGAAUUUAUCAUUAUACUUAUAUUAUUUUAAGUAAAAUUUUUGGAUUUGAAUUUGAAUUAGUUCAAGUUUAGAUUAUGUUGAGUUCAAGUCAGUUUAGACUCGAAUAUUUUGGGAAAUUUCAAGAGAAAAUUAGCAAGUCAAAAUUACAAUUAUAAAAUAAUAUAUAUCAUUUAUCUAUUUAUCUAUAUAAGUUUGAAUUACAAAUUAAUUUCUAAAAGUUAUUGAGGCAUUAGUAUUUGUGUUGACGCAUGGGAGUUUAGGUUCAAUCUCUUGAUUGAAAUAUUAUUUUUAAAAUAUUUUUAAAAUAUGGGAGGGUUUGGGUAAAUAUAUAGGCCCGAAAUAUGGGCUUGGGCAAAAAAUGAGGCCCGUUUAGAAAACGGGCCUGGCCUCGGGCAAAAUUUUUUAGCCUGAGCCCGGCCCGGACCGAAAAUAUAUUAAAUAUAUAUAUUUAAAAUAUACUAGUUUUAGUUUUAUUUUAAGUUUUAAGUUACAAAAUGUUAGAUUUUGUUACAACAAUUAAUACAAUUAACAAUUAAUAAUUUUACAAAAAAAAUGUUAGUAACAAUUAAUAAUUAAUAAUUUAAUAUAAUUUGAUAAUUUUAGUAACAAUUAAUACAAUUAACAAUUAAUAAUUUUACUAACAAAAUGUUAGAUUUUACAAAAUGUUGACUGGUACAAAAAAUAUAUAAUUUGAUACAAUUUUAAUAACAAUUAAUUUUAAUAACAAUUAGUUUUAAUUUUUAUAAAAAUAUAAUUUUAAUUUUAAUUAAAAAACAGACCGGACCGGGCUGGGCCGGGCUAGGGCCUAGGAAGCGGGCUGAAAAUUUUUUUGGGCCCGGCCCGAACUCGGCCCGGACCUGUCCAUGGACUCCUCUACCCAUUUACAACGAACAACCUUUUUACGUUUAGAAAGUUUCACAAGAUCCGAUAUUUUGUUUUUGUGGAGUGAUUCCAUCUCCUCUUGCAUAGCAAACAUCCACUUUUCUGAGUCUUCACAGUUAACCGCAUCAGAAUAAUUAGAUGGCUCUUGGUUUGCAUCUAUAUCUUCAGCCACAUUUAAAGCAUAAGCAACUAGAUCAGCCUCGCCAUACUUCUUUGGAGGUUUAAUUUCUCUUCUAGUUUUGUUUUUGGCAAUAGAAUAUUGUGGUGAAGAAACAACUCUAUUUUGAAUUUUUGUACUGGCUUGAGGAGUCAACUCUGUUGUAGAUUCUAGAUUAAUCUGAAGCUCCACCUGCUUUUGAUUUUCUUUAUUAGAAGAGUCUUUAAGAGAUAUGUUAGGUAGCAUAACAGUUUCAUCAAAAACAACUUCUCUGUUAAUCACAACUUUUCUAUUUUCAGGAUACCAUAACUUAUACACUUUUACACCAGCUUUAUAACCAAGAAAAACACAUUUAAUGGUACACAAUUCUAAUUUUCCAUUAUCAACAUGAGCAUACGCAAGACACCCAAAAAUCUUUAAAUUAGAAUCGUCAGCAGGAUUACUAGACCAUACCUCUUAUGGAGUCUUUUUCUCAAUGGCAACGGAUAGAGACCGAUUGAUCAAAAACAUGUAGUUGACACUGCUUUGGCCCAAAAUAACUUUGGUAAGUUGACAUUUGACAACAUACAUCGAACCUUCUCCAUGAUCGUUCUAUUCAUUCGUUCUACAAUACCUUUUUUAAAAUGUUCAUUUUCUAAAAUAAAAAACACUAUGAAUUGCAUGAAUUAUGUCCUAUGAAUUAUAAAGGAAUGCUGUUGAAAUAUUCCCAUCGAUACAUGCAUACAUAUUCGUGAAGUAUGUUCCAAUAUAAUAUCAAUAUUGGGAUUUACGUUUUAUAGAGCAACAUUAUUGGUUGGUAAUAUACAUUGAUUCCAAGGCAAAUCCAAAUAUUUUAAAAUUUAACCUACAACUGUGGAAAAUCAAACUUAAUAGUAACCCGAUUGUAAUGUAAAGUUAAAUAUGAAAGUAACAUUGGUUUAUAUAUAUAUUUUUCUCUAAAUUCUAAUAAUCAAGUUGGGAUAAGUGAUAAACACUGAGCUUGCCACGUGUGUUAACCACGUUUAUAUCAUGUGCCACUCCAAAGACAUCAGGCCUCUAUUCAGGCUGGCAUGGUCAGGACGUGGUAGCAUACUUCAGGGCCCUGGUUAGAAAAUAUCCCAUAUCGCUAAAGAACUAUAACACAGGAGCGUUUAUAUAAGCGAAAGAAGCAGCAAAUGAUUGUCCCUUCGGGGACAUCCGAUAAAAUUGGAACGAUACAGAGAAGAUUAGCAUGGCCCCUGCGCAAGGAUGACACGCACAAAUCGAGAAAUGGUCCAAAUUUUUUUCCCUUUUUUUUUCCCGCAGUUUUACAGCUCUGUUUCUUUUUUUUUUUUCUGGGUUUGGUGUUCAUAUUCAUGGGUUUUUGUGCACUUAAGAUUGCAAUUAGAGUUUUCUUUCUUUCUUUUACUGGGCUCGGUCUGUUUUACUCUCUUGAACUGUGAAUUUGAUUUUAUUUUUUUUGCCAUUUUUUCAGCUUUGUUGCUUUUAUCCCCCUGGGUUUAGUUUUCAUGUUCAUGGGUUCCGCGCACUUAAGAUUGCAUUAGAGUUUUUUUCUUUUUUUUUUCUUUUUACUGGGUUUUGGCCAGUUCUACUCUGUUGAACCGUGAAUACCUCAAGUUUUCUGGGAAUAAAUUGUUGCUUAUAUAUUUGCUGGUCAACAGUGCUAAUUUUCUGAUAUAUUGGCCAGAAUUGAAGGAUGAAGGUCCAACUUUGCUUUUGGUCCUUCUACUACUAUCUUAAGAUUUAAAAGAAAUUCAAUUAAACAAUUUCUUCCAAUAAAAUUAAAUAAGAAGGCCCAGAAAUUGACCUGCACACUUAGACAUGUUUCUCUUUGAAAAAAAUUCAAACAGGAUUUUAAAAUUUGCAAUGUGUUUUAUGUAAAUCAAAUGAUAUCCUGAAUUUUGCUAAGGGUGCUUCAUAUCCUUGAAUCCUUUUUUUGCUUGGCAAGUGAUUCAUUGAGUUUUUGUGAUCAAAUUUCAUGUUUCCUUUUUUAGUACGGGAAUUUGUGGGAAAAUGCUUGGCAAUAUGGAAAUGAAACCAAUUUCCAUUUCCAAAGGCACCAGCAAAGUGGUGAAGCUUAUUAUUGAAAAAUUCUUCAAUAAUGUCAAUAAUGAAAAAGUAGAAAAUGGAAAAACAGAGAAUAAUUUGGUUCUUCAUCCUAUUUGUAGUUAUAGUGAAUGGAUUUCUUUGAUUUUAGUAACUAAUAUUAUGAUUCCAACAUUUGGGGUUUUAAUCUCACUACAUGAACUUGGCUUUGCUUCUUAGUGUUAUUGUUCAACUUUUUAGGAUACCUCUAUCUUAAUCCAUUUAUGUGAUUUGAUAAUGAUAUUUGCAGGCACUUAAAUCUUCCAUUGAAAUGGAGAACACCAAUUACGACGAGGAGCUGAAGAAUGAUUGCAGGCUUGUUUGCAGUCUCAUAUACGAUAUUAAUUGCAGAAAAGAACGGUUGUCCCAAAUGGAACGUGAAUAUAACGAGAUGACCGCAACUCUUCGAGGACUCAUCAAUGGCCUCAUAGCAAAAAUUAACUCCAAGGACAGUAAUCUGUGGGGUUGGGAGCUUCAAUAUAAUGUAACCGUGAGACAGUUGAAGGGCAAGAAUGCUGCGUUGCGCCUUUCGUUUGCUGAAGGUACUUUACAUUAUAUAUGUGUAUGUAGUGAGCAGAAUACUAUGUGUUAAUUGAAUCGUUUGGUACCCAUUGAUUGAUCUAUAUAAAUGUCAGGAUUUGAACCCCAAACUUAGCUUUUAUUACGGGAACCGGAUCAAUUUAGGCUCGGAUAAGCUUAAUGGGCUCAGAACCAGAUAAGAACAUAAUAUAUGGGAACACUUUGGCCAUACGAGGCUAAUGCUUAUAUGAUUCGCAUUACAGACUACAUGCACUGUUAGUUGAAUAGCUUUAUGAUGUAUUAAUCUAUAAAAUCUGGGUGUCAUAUUAUGAGUUCCAUUGCUAUGUUAAUCUAUGUACUAACAAUAUUAUGAAGUAAGGCAAUUUUGUGUACAUUAUAUUGGGAUGCAAGCUGAAUUCCUAUUAAUCAGCUUCAACCAUACAUACAUACAUACAUACAUACAUACAUAUAUAUAUAUGAAGUUAAGAACGUAAGUGCUGUUAAAUGGUACAUUACUCAGAUUGGUAAUAUAUUGGUGCCGAAUGUUCUAAAAUUUUACCAGCAUUACUGGUAAUAUAUUAAUGCCAAAUUUGACUAAUUAUUGUUUAUAUAUAUUCAAAAAUUUCAGAUUUGAUAAAGAUAAAAUGGCAAUAAUGAAUAAAAAUACUAACUUUUUGAGAUCUUAUUUAAUGAAGGGAAGUUGAAUAUGGAAACUAAAUCGACCUAAGGGAAAUAAAAGCAAAAUAUGGAAAAUAUUUCUCGGGAAAACAAGUGUUAUCCUUCAUAUAUCUUGAUGAUUCUCUAACGCCGCCAGUUUUCCCCCCUAAGUUUACAGCAAGAAGAAGAAGAAAAAGAAGACAAACGGCAACGUUAAGCCAUUUUCAUCCCAGGUUAAUUUUCUUGUAAAUUAAACAUUUUUUGUAUACAUUUUGUUACCUAUUUAUUUUAUGGUUAUGAUUUGCCGAGUGGACAUUUUCAACAAUGUGGAUUGUAUCUGAUACAGCCGAAAGAGAAUGUGCCUUGUCGAGAUCUUGUUGAACUCGAGAAAACUACGAGCGAUCAGAUUGCUGCUCUAAAGGAACAAUUGGAGGAAACAUCAGAGGCGUUGAAAGAUAUGGAAAGCCGAUACAGUUGUCUUACGGUGAAACAAAUCUUAAUUAAUCGAGAACUGCAAGAUGCUCGAAAAGAAUCAAUAAGUGUAUUUCCUCGUUUUCCUUUGUUUUCUUGGAUGUUUUAUUUCUUUAGGUGCAAGAAAUACCUCUUCGGAAUCAGGUAUGAAAGUGUUAAACCGAAGACUUCUCUGGUUCUUGAUAUGCAGGGUCUAAAUGAUGUAUUGACAAGCCGAACAACUCUUGUAGUAAAAAGAAUGGGAGAGAUCGAUCAAAAAGCUUUUGAAGUUGCUAGCUCUGGGAAGUUCCCGAACAAAGAUUGGCAAGAAACAUGUGCUAAAUUAUGUUCAUUAUGGCAACAAAACGUGCAGGAUCCGAAAUGGCACCCCUUUAAGAUGAUCAAUAUCCGAGGCAACUUGCAGGCAUGGUGCAUACACCAACUAUUCUGUUAUCCGGUUAUCGAAAAUCCAUUUUUUUACUAAACGUGCUAAACAUGUAUGUCAGAAUCGAGCCAGUUUAUUACUCAAACUUAGAUAUAUUAAGGGGAUGGCUACUCGGUAGUGUAGGAAAUAGUAGACGAAGACGACGAGAAGCUGAAGGAGUUGAGAAAUGAAUACGGUGAUGUCGUGUACGAGGCUGUUAGCACCGCAUUGAUGGAAAUGAACGAAUAUAAUGCGAGCGGAAGGUAUGCAGUCAUUUAAGCUAGCUGAGUGACCUACAAUCUAGUUUAUCAUUUUUUAAAUAUUUAGUCUAUGAUUUUUUUAUUUUUUUAAGGAUUUGUGACUUUUCUUCCAAUAAUAUAUCUCCAAAAUUCUAACUUAACCUUUUUAAACUUUGUCAUGUGAUUAUUAUUAGAGUUAAUUGCACCAAAUAUCUCCAAACUAUGGCCCUUAUUUUAAAAUAGUCCUCAAACUCAAAAUAUUGUAAAUUACAUUUCCAAAUUAUCAAUAUUAUAUCAAUAAUGUUCUUUUGUUAUUAAAAUCAUUAAAUGAGACGUCAAAUCUUAUGAGACAUAAUUUAAAAUAAAAAACUUAAAGAAAAAUGAAUAUUGUAAAAUAUUGAUUUGAAGGUUUUCGAAGCUAUUACAAAAACUAUCAUUCAUUUUCUCUUUUACUUUAUUUUUAAUUUUUAUUUUUAAAAGUUGUAUCAACAACAUUUUACUUUUCUUUAAAAAUAUCAUUUUAAAUUAAUAGUGUCAAUAAUAAAAGGAUGAGAUAAAUAGUUUAAAAUAUUUUAAAGUUGGGAAAAUAAUUUAAAAUAAAGAUGCAAUAUUGUUAAUCUAGUACUAUUUCAUAAUAUCAUUUUAUCGUUUCAACUUUUAAAGACUACUUUUUUUUUUGAAAUAUUUUAAAGACAACAUUUAAAGAUUGAUUAUAAUAAUAUUGUUGCAUGGAAAAAGAAUUUCCACGUCAGCAGAAAGGCUUACGCCUGACGUGUGCUUAGUAUUAUUAGAAAAGUCAAAGGUCGAGAAAGUCUAAGGCGGGUCACACAUAUCACACGCCAUGCACAGGUUUCCUUAUUUCGAGGCUAAAAUACCAAAAUACCAUCACAUUUCUUGUUAAAUUUAUCACUUAAUCAACAAUCCUCUAAAACGAAGUAAGGACAUACUAGAAAUUUUAAUCGCAAUAAUAUCACCAAAUCUGAAAUAUUACAAAUGAGGCAAAAAAAAUACGAGUAAUAUUUGGCCAUAAAAUGUAAAUAUUCAUUCCCUCUAAACCAGUCGGUUAAGCCUCACAAUCCAACGUAACUGUAAAUCUUUCUUGGCAGCCAUGAAAUCAGUUCUAAAAUCCCUUGCAAACUCAAUCUUCCUUGUUCUUUUCAUCAUCUUUUCAUCUUCUAUUCCACUUGUAUUGGCUCAAUGUGAAGCAGAGACCAAGACUAAUGGAUGCCAUAACUACAGAGAAUCCAUGAAGCUAAAAAUCAUCGCCAUUGUCGCAAUUUUACUAUCCAGCAUGAUUGGCGUGUGUCUACCAUUGUUUUCUGGUCAGGUUCCGUUACUUAAACCCGACAGGGACUUGUUCACCAUUGUCAAGGCAUUUUCCUCCGGUGUUAUUCUAGCGACUGGGUACAUGCACGUUCUACCGGAUUCUUUCAACGACCUUAUGUCCGGGUGUUUGCCUGAAAACCCAUGGAGGAAGUUCCCUUUCACAACCUUCGUCGCAAUGCUGUCGGCUGUGUUGACCCUUAUGGUGGAUUCAUUUGCAAUGAGUGUAUACAAGAAACGUUGCGGUAAAGCUUUAAUGGCGGAUGCUAACAAUGGUGGUGGAUUGGAAAAUACGAACAUUGUACCGAUCGAUAAUUUUGAACACGGCCAUAGCCAUUCACUUGAGAUGAAUGACGACGUAUCAUCACAAUUGUUAAGGCAUCGAGUUAUUGCUCAGGUAUAUACAUGUUUGAAUCCUCAAAUUCGAUGGUUUUGCUUUUCAAGUCUUUACAUUAUAUAUUUCCUAAAUGUAGGUAUUAGAGUUGGGAAUUGUAGUUCAUUCAGUGGUGAUUGGUCUUGCAAUGGGAGCCUCUGGCAAUCAAUGCACCAUUCGAUCACUCAUUGCUGCCCUUUGCUUCCAUCAAAUGUUUGAGGGGAUGGGACUUGGUGGAUGCAUACUGCAGGUAACCAACAUUGCACUAUUUUCUCAUUCAAACAUCCAUUUAGUGUACAAUAUUGAUUAACAUUAUGUUUGAUAUGUGCAGGCUGAAUAUGAGAUAAAAAUGAAAGCAAUCAUGGUAUUCUUCUUUUCAGCCACAACGCCACUUGGAAUAGUUCUGGGAAUUGGUUUGUCCAAUGGUGGGACUACUUAAUGCUUGCUCAGCAGGGUUGCUGAAUUACAUGGCACUGGUUGAUCUCCUUGCAGCUGAUUUUCUGGGCCCUAAGCUUCAAACAAAUAUGAAGCUCCAGGCUUGGUCAUAUGUUGCAGUUUUACUUGGUGCUGGAUUUAUGUCUUUGAUGGCAAAAUGGCCUUAGUCAUUUCAACAUAUAAAUGUCUUUUUGUAGUUUUUUAAUUUUUUUUUUUUUUGCUUCAACAGAUGAGUUUAUAGUGAAUCAACAGUUGUUCAAUCAAUUAUAAAAUUUAGGCAAAGAAUUUAGGCAACAAGGCUUCAACAUUGAUCUUUAAGAUCGUUUACUCCAUAUUGCAGGGCUCAUCACAAAGUAUAUAACUAUAUAUAUCAGAGAAGUAUGCAAACUUCAAUUUUGUGUCAGUAUCAUUAUAGUUUAAACUGUUUAAUGUUAAAUCAGAUGUAGAUGUCUUUAAGCCAAUGCUUAUAGCCACAAAGUCUCUUUGGUGCAAGCUAUAAGGACAGAGUUAUGCUAUAAAUAAACAAAUAAAUGUUGUAUAAAACCCUUCUCCUCAAAGACAAAACGAUAGCGACAGCCUGCUUUCGGUAGAUGGAAGAUUUUCUAUUUCCUCCAUUUACCAUCUCUGGUUUGCUUAUCUGCCUUGUUGCCCUAUGUUGGUUGGGCCAAACAAAUAGCUUGAAAUCUUUAAGUAGCACUUUCAUCCCUCCAGUUAUAUAUGCAAUUUUAUAUGUUGAACCAUCAUACCAUGCCAAUUCACUGCACAUUAAUUGACUAGUACCUAACAGGAUUAAUUUACAGCUUACUAGAAUCAUCCACAAGACUUUGAGGGAUUAAUUGGGGCUUAAAUAUCAAAAAGGCUUCUACUGUUUCUGUUUUUUGUUCAGAAGUUUCAAAUGGAUCAAUAGUUAAAAGGUGAUAAUAGGAUGAGCAAGUGACUGACAUUAAUAGUGACCACAUAUCAAAAGAAAUAUAAAGAAAGAAGGAAGAGCAGAAUUAUUGAAAAAGUUUGAUCAUGUGGCUAUACUAUAUAUAUUUCAAUGCGCAGAAAGGAGAUAUAUGAGGCAAAUAAUUUUGUCCUAUUCAAAUAAAAAAAAAUGGGGAGGCCACAAUAGACCAAAGUGUCCCCUCAUGCAAUAACAGGCUUUUUGUGAGUGGCUUUGGUAUAGUAUACCCUGUGAAUGAGCACUUAUUUGCCUCCACACUCUUUUAUAGGCCCUAUGAGGAUUUAGCUAUAUCGCAGAAGUGAGGUUAAUUUUAAUGAGACUAAUGAUACAAUGAAACAAUAUUUUGAGUGUUGAAAUUAAAUUGAAUAUUUUUAUGGUAUCGAAAAUGUAAUUUUACUAUUUUAAUAGUUUAUAUAUAAUUUUACAAUUAUUAAUAUAAAAUUUUAUAAAUUACAAAUUGGCCUAAAUGAAUUUUUUUUUUAUUUUAAGGAAACUGGCAAUAAGAAUCAAAUUUUGACUUAUGAGGUUAUAUAUUAUUUUUCAGUAAUUGAUUUUUUUUUUUUCGUUUUGGGUAACAUUUUCCCUAUGUAUUCAUUUAGUUGCCUUACAAAUAAUGUACAUUAUUGUAAAGAGAGUCGAUGUAUUAUUCUUCAAUACUUACCUCAUUUUUUAUUACCCUUUAUUUGCUAAUAAAAGACAACGUUUACAUUGGGACCAUAAUUUCAUGCAGAAAGGGAAAAGACUUUGCCAUUCCCUAAUAUCCUUCUCUAAGCAAAGGAGGUCUAUGUACUAGUGACAAAUGGGUUCAUAUCCGUCUCUCUUCGGAUUAGGAUUACCACCUAUUUGAACCGGUUUAAGUUUGAGUAUUUAGAAUUUGGAUAAUUUUGAGUUUAGAUUGUCUCAAUUUAAAAUAAGUAUUUAGACUAGUUGAUCCACGAAUCGGUUGAACAAACGACCGAGUUUAUUUUUUAAAAUAUAUAAUUUUUAAUUUUUAAUAGUUUAUUCAAUUAAACUAAUUGGACUGAUUAAAUUGGGUAGAUGUGGUUUCUAUUGCACACAAUCUAAUGAAAGACUCUUACAAGGUGAAAAGUACAAAAAUUUAUAGAAAUGAUUUAAAGUUUAGGUAAAUAACUUAAUGAAAAAUAGACAUGAUUAGUGGCGGAGCCCUGGUCCCUCUAAAAUAGAAUUAAAGUCUUUUAUAACUUAUAAAAUUUUAAAUUAGUAAUGGUAAAAUUGCACUUUCUUCCCCUAAAAUUAAUAAAAAUUUGAUUUAACCUUUUAAAAAUUAUAAAGAUAUAAACUAUUAAAAUGGUAAAAUUGUAUUUUUAUUAUCGUAAAAAUAUACAAUUUAAUUCCGUCCCAAAAAAUUUUCUUACUUCGCCCUGUAUAUCAUUAAUAGAAAAGCUAAAAAUAUUAAGUAUACAAUAAUUAAUUAGGUUGAACAAUUUUUGUUGGGAAUCUAUGUUAAAUAGAAUAUAGAUUAGCUAUUAAAUGUAAAAUGGCAAAAGAAUAAAUUAUAAUGUGUACAUAAGGUUGAUUUCGUAAAACUAAAAAUUACCAAUUUUUCAUGUCUUUGUCAACUAUUAUACACUUGAGAUGGUAAGAGCCUUUUUUACUUUAAUCGUUGGUUAAUGAUUCGAUCAUUGCCUUAGGUAUAGAGUAACUUUAAAACUCGUGACCAGUAUCCACCCCGUUAAUGGGCCUAUAGAAUGCGGAGGGUUAGUUAUUGGGCUCGCUCUAAUAGAUAUAUUGAGAAAUUAAAAAAAAUGGAAUAAAAAAUGUAAUAAAUUUGACAUUUGAAGUUGUUUAAAGUUAUAAAUUAAAUUGGUGAUAUAUAAGAGAUAUUUUUAUUUGUGUUUAUAGAGAAUUGAAGGAAUAAAAUUUUAAUAUUAACCGCAAAUAAUAUCCUCAAAACUUAAAGUUAUAAUAGUGAAAUAAUAUCAAACAUGCAAUCAAUUACAUUAUUUUAUUUUUUAAUUUUUAUUAAAUAUAGUCAACAUUAUAUUUGAAAAUCAAUAUUACAUAUUGAGAAUUAAUUAUUAUGAACACUUUAUUGUGGGGUUUUUUACAUUAAUAAUAUAAAAUAAAUAAAUAUUAAAAUAGGAUAAGGGGAUUAAUAUUUACGAGAAUAGGUAAAUGAAAGAGUGAAAUAUCGAUGUCGUCUGACCAAUCGGCGGCACCACUUUAUUUUAAUUUUGUUCAGGUGUAGUCUGACCAAUCAACGACUCCAGACUAAAAUGUGAUGAUCUAAAAGGAUAAAUUGCACCCUAAAUCCCCCUUAUUUAUUAUUAUUUCUUAUUUUUCUUUAACACCAAAAAAUAGGUUGGCCCUUUAUAAAUUAGUCUAAAUUUUUUUUACCAAAAAGUAUUUUUGUAAGUAAGCCGUUUCCAUUUGGAAAUAAAUUUUAUUUAUUUUUAAAAAAUAUUUAUAAUUUUAUUAUCCAUUUGAUUUGCGUACACAGUAUAAAAUUAUAAUUAUAAAAUCUUUAGAAAAAUCUUAUUAUGUAUAAAUUAUAAUUAUUAGUUAAAUUUAUAGUUUCCAAAUAUAAUGAGAGAAAAAGAAAACUACUAAAAAUACAGUUAAUUGUAAUGUCAAACAUAAUGUGAUUUUUUUUUUGGAAAAUAAAUAAAAUUUAUUUCAAGUUGGAAUCGUCUUACUUUCAAAUAUACUUUUUGGUAAAAAAAAUUUAGACUAAUUGAUAAGAGGCCAAUUUAUUUUUGGAGUUAAAAGAGAAUAAAAUUUAAUAAUAAAUAGGGGGUUUAGGGUGCUAUUUAGCCUUUUAAAAUUUGGUGCCAUCAUAAUGUCCGACGCACCCUUGAAGAAUUUUUCGACUGUCAAUUAAAAUGGAAAAUUUCAUAUAAGGUCCCUGAAAUCUUUAAAUCAUCACAUUUUAGCCUGGUGCGGCUGAUUGCUCAGGCUGCACCCGAAUUUUUUUUUUAAAUAAAGUGAUGUCGUUGAUUGGUUAGGCGGCACCGAUAUUUCACUAUUUCAUUUGACUAUUCUCAUAAAUAUUAAUCUCUUUAUCCUAUAAUGUAUUUAUUUAUUUAUUUUAUAUUAUUAACGUAAAAAAACCCUCUAUUGUGACUUGCGGAAACGUAGAAUGAAAACCAAUUAGGGUGUGCUUUUUUUUUUUUUAGUUUUUCUUGAAUUAAAAUGCAACCAAUAAUAUUAAUGACAUACAUAUAAAUUAAUUAAUAGUGUCUCUCUCAAAGAUGAUAUUGACAGUAGUGAGUUAGAAAAUGUUUUUGAGAGACCCAAAUUAAUGUAAAAAUAUACAAUUUAAUUAAUUUAAUAAUUUUAUAAUAUUUAAAGAACUAAAUCAAAAAAUUUUAUCAUUUUAAAGAAGAAUAAAGUAUAAUUUUACUUUUAUUAAUUUAAAAUUUUAUAAAUUAUAAACAUUAUAGAUACUGUCAGCCCCUAUGACUAUGUAAGCCUUGAAAACAUCCUUCCUUAUUGCAUGUCUUUUUCUACUUUGACAGUGGUGUGCUUUCUUUGAUCUAGCCGCUCCUUUAAGAUAAAAUUUCCAAAAAGAGUAGAUAUUAUAUGAGGAAUAGUUGGUUAAAGAAAGAAAAAAAUAAAAAAAAAAUUUGGCAAAUGACCUUUCAAGAGCUUUAUUUAAUACAUGGAUACUUAAUAAUUCAUUUAUUUAAUUACUUAUUUUAGGGAUCGAACAUAUGUCUUUUUCAUUUCGUCGAAAAUUAAUUUUAGAGUAUAAACUCCUAUGACCUCCCCCUCUAUGCCUUGCAGUAAUGAUUCCUCUAACAAUUUCUCAAUUUAAUAAAAGAAAAAAAAAUGUGAAUAGGUCUUAAAUAAUGAGAGAUAUGUAAAAAGAAGGCCCGAGUAUGCCCAAUCCUAAUCCCUAAUCCUAAAUGGAAUGUAAUGACAUAGGGAUUCAUAUGUAAAAUUUUAUAUUAAUAUAGUAAUAUAAUAUUACUAAUAUUACCAACUCCUUUUUCAUUUUCUAGUUUAUUUUCUAUUUUAGUAUAUUUUACAUCUAAGUUAUAUAGAAUUUUUUAUAUAGAUAUAAAUUUUAUUUAAUCAAUCAAUUUAAUAGAUUAAAUUUAUUUUAUUUAGUUUAGAGUUAUAAAUAGAGAUAAUUAGAGUAAAAAAUCAUUUAUAUAUUUUAUGAUUGCCAACAUUUCUCUCAAAGACAAGUAUAUAUUGUACAGACCCAUUUUGCCCUAGCCCAAACUCCCAAUACCCAAAACAAAACCCAAAACCCAUUUACAAAAAUAGGCUUAAACUACCCAAACCCUAAUAGCCCAAAGCAUCAAAUCAAAAAAAUAAAAAAAAACCUUGCCCUAGUCUGUUGCCGCCGCACCUAGUGGCCCUCUGACACCACCCACCGCCACCAACUCGGCCACUUGCACUUGCAAAGACAGAAAAGAAAACACGCAAGCAGUAGAAGUAGCAAAAAAAAUUUAAAAUCGGUGAUAAAAACCGAAUGUAAUAUCAAAAAUGGGGAGGGGAGAACCGAUCUUGUUUUGUAAAAAAAGGGACUCUUCUUCUUCUUUUUUUUCGGAUAGAGCUAGAGAGUUUUUUUUUUUGUAUGAACACCCAUAUAAAUCAAGGGCAAAAAUAGAUUCAAAAAAAAAACAAAUAGAUCCAGUCCAAGGUGAUUUUCAGUUUAUAUUUCUUUUUCUUUUAUUUACUUUUAUCUUUAUUUUAUUUUUUUUCCUCUCCAAAAACAGUCCAUAUACGUACAAAUACAUAAGAAGAAAAAAAAUAUAAAAAAAAGAAAAAAAUUACCUUUUGAAUUUUCCACGGUGGCCGAUGCGACGCCGGCACGAUGGAGGUACGGCAGGGCCUGGCCGGGAACUUGACCUGGUCCAGAGGGAGCUCCCUUUUUUUUUUUAAAUCAUGGAACCAAAUGAUUUUUUUUAUCUAAAGAUGGGCUUUUAUAGGCCCCCGAAACGACGUCGUUUUGGGCAGGCCUCUCAGACAUCAAAACGUCGUCGUUUUGAUGCCGUUCAACAGCUCCAGGCUAGGAUCCGCUUGUUUUUGUCGGAAAAACUAAUUGCAUCUUUAGCCCUUCCACUUUUUAAGGAUGUUUUAAUCAAGUUUUUUUUGUUUUUUUUAAUUUUUCCACGAUUACAACUUAAUCCUCGCUAGAACGGCGCCGUUUAAUCUACGUGGGAUUAUUUCGCUUUGGGUCCUCUUUUGUUCACGCGCAUUGCGAUUUAAUCCUUUUUGUUUUUUUACCUUUAAUUACGGCCCUAAAACUUUGUUUUUUUUUCGAUUUGAUCCUUAAUUGGCUAUUAUAAAACUCAGUUGUAAAAACAAGAACUAGCUUUGAAAAUAAAUCCAGACGAGUUUUAAAAAACCUAUGGCUUUCUAAAUCUCUCUCAUCUCUUCUUGCUUGAAAGUAGAAUUUCUAUGGAAGAAAAUCUCUCAUGAGUUUAAGAGUAUGCUCUGUGCUUGCCAUAAACGUGGAUCCUGCAAAUCAGAAAUUAAACAUGAUAAGAGAUAUCAUUAAGUUUAGGUGAGUUUGAAGAAGUAGUCUAGUCCAGAUUAAUUGAGAUUAACAGCUAAAAGGCAGUGCCUAGUUAAUGGCCGAAAAUGGAGGGAAAGGCCUGUGUUUUGGCAUAGCAUACCUGCUGUUAUGAUCUCUUAAUCUGUGCUAUCUAUCUUGGCUUCUUACUCCCCUACGCCUCUGCCAAGGAGAUCAACUCCAAUUUUUGAUGUUAACAGAUUUUUCACGAUUCUUCAUAAUUAUUUUAUUGGAAAUCCUGAUGAUCAGUUAACACUGAAAAGAAGAGAAUUCUUCAAGCGAAAAUGCUGUUCCUAUAAGAAGAAAGACUUGACCAAGCAUUUCUAUACAAUGAUGAAGCUCUUUUAUGCUCUUGGAUCAGAAUCAAGCUUGAAGCAGGCUGUUGUAUCUUCGCUACCAGAUCUUUUCAUGGGCUUUAUAGCACUUAAGCUCCAGCUGUUCAAUCCUUUUUUCAUUAAUAUUGUUAUACGGCAUUAUUAUUUAUUAGUAUCUUUAUUUCAUUUAUGUAUUAUUUUAUUUUAUUUAAAAAAAAAAACUUAUAUAAAUAUGUGCAUAUACUCUCUAAUGUAUAUUUUAAAGUUCUCAUAAGUAUGCUGUUAUUUCAUUUUUUUUUACAUAUGCUCAUUUUUAUAAUAUACAUAUAUGUACAUUAUGUUUAUAAUAUAUAUACGUACUUUUAUAUAAAUAUCUAUGCAUCCGUAUACAUCUUUUAGUUUUCAUAAAUAUAUAAAUACAUAUUUGUAUAUAUAUAUAUUAUAUUUUAUACCUUAUAUUAUUUAUAUAUCUUUAUAUACGUAUUUUUUUUAAUUUUCAUAAUAUAUAUUUAAUACCUUAUAUUACAUAUAUCUUUAUAUACAUAUUUUUAAAUUUUCAUAUAUAUAUAUACAUACUUAUAUAUUUUUUUUAUACUUUAUAGUUUUAAUAUACAUAUAUGCAUAUACAUACUUAUAUAUCUUCUUAUUUUUUUAUAUAUUCAUUUUCUUUAUUUACUUCUUUAUUUACGCUUUCAUUAUUAUUUAAAAAAAAAUGUUUCAUUUUAUUUUUAUAUUAAUUUGUCUCUUUAUUUAUCUUAUUUUUUCGUUAUUAUCACUCGUAUUGUUUUUACACCAUCGUAUUUAUUAUUGUUUUGUUAUGCGUAUCCAGUGUAAUUUGUUUUCGCAUUUUUCACGACAUCAGAUUUUACUUUAUUCAAUAUAUCAAAUCUUGUUUUUUUCUUAUUUCGAUAUUCGAAAAAUCACACCUUAAUUUACGGGGUUUCGAUUUUCUCGACAAAUCUAAAUACGUGAAUCAUUUCAAACAAAAGUUCUAUGUGCUCUUGGGAAUUAACGAAAGAUCGUGUUCUAACUCACGAGACAUGAUCUCUUUCCUAAACCCGAGAUAAUUAAAUAUCUUUCAAAAUAAAUAAAUUUUGACACUCAUUCGCGUAUUGGGAAUUCAAGACAUUGUGUUCUAAUUUAUGGGAUGCAAUGCUCUUUCUCGAUCAAUGUGAAGUAUGUCAUUUUUUCUUUUCAAAUACUUUUCGUAUUUCAAUAAAAGAUCGUAUUUUAAAUCUCUUCAAAGUUUUCAAUCUUCGACACUAGGACAUUAAUUAAUCAACUAGGUACUAAUUUUGGGCGUUACGAGAGUGCUAAUUCUUCCUCGUACGUAAUCGACUCCCGAACUCAUUUUUUUAAUUUCGUAGACCAAAAUCGUUGUUUUAAUAAAAUUAAAUCGUUUAUUAAAAACAACUACUUUUCAAGGUAAUCCGAUCACAACUUAUCAAAAAAGAUUGGUGGCGACUCAUACAUUCAUUUUUAUUUUUCAAAAUCUAAGUUAAUCUCGUUUUGUUAAAAAAAUGGUGUCAACAUAUAUAUAUAUAUAUAUUAGCACCAAUUCAUCCCAUUUAAUGCAAACAUAUUAAAUAUUUAUAUGUCCAUAAUAUAUAUAUAAAUUGGGCUCUUAAGAAAACCAUGGAAUUAAUAAUGAUAAUUUGGUAGAAGACAUUUUAGGGUAGUUGGCUAGUCAUUACUGAGCUGUUUCCACGAGACUUCCUUUCCUUAAAGUAAGAUGAAGUCAUCUUUCUCAAAUCAUUACUUUCUGGCUUUGCACUGUUAAGAAAAAGAAAAAGAAAAAAAGACAGAAGGGGGAAAAUUAUAAGUUAUUGAUCAAAGCCAAAAGGUACGCCAUCUGCUUUUCUUUUCCAUGCUUUGCUCUUACUCUUUUGAAAUACUUGUCCGUAUAAAUAAGCUUAGGCAGGCAGUUUUAACCAUGAAAAUGGACUUCUUUUAUGCUUCAAAUCUUUUUAGCCCUUCUACUUUAGCUUUAAGAUUCUGAGUCCUGUACUUUUUGGAUUUAAAAUCUUCAUCUUUCCAUUUAAAUUUACCCUUAGUGUUGUUGACCUGACAAAUAUAAAAGGAUCAAAUAAAUUUUUUAGCCUUAAUUUGAUCUUUACUUUUUAAAAUUACAUAAAAAUUCAGAAUUAAAAAGAAAUCAUAUUUCUCCUAAAAUCCAUUAAAAAAUUGUGGAAAACACACUUUAAAGUUCGUGGAAAAAAAGGGAAAAGAAGGGGUGACUAUUAGGAAAGCUGCAUAAGCACUUUUGUUUGUGAUCUAUCAACAACUUGUGCCUUCCACAUACUGCAAUAUGGUUAUUAAGAGGUUGAGUACUGCUUUAUCUUGUAGAAGAAGGAUUUGUACUAGAUCUGAUUAUAGGUUGGGUUAAUGGAAAAAUUUUAGAUUUGUUUUUCAGGUCCGGCUGAACUAGAAAAAUAAGCCUAAAAUUUUACUUAAGCUCAAUCCAGAUAAAAAAUACUAAAUCUAAACUGGUCCGUAUUAAAUUUUUUAGAUUAUUUUUAUAUAAAAAUAAAUUUUAAAAAUAUAAUACAUCUAAUACUCUAAAAAUAUUAAAAAAUAAAUAGUUGCAACUUAGCGAACAAAUAUUUCUAAAAUAAUAGCAAAAUUAAAAAUAAAAUAAAAAUUAUACAAUAUCUAAAUAAUAUUUGCAAAAUAAUAGUAAUAUAAUAGGGAAACAGUAGCAAAAUAACAACAUAACAGCAAAAAACAACAUAAAAGCAGUAAACAGCAGCAAAAAAAAUAGUUAAAUUCGGGUCAGGUCCAAACUAAAAGAAAUCUUGUCCGAGGCUCGCUCGUUCAAAAUGCGAAUCUUAUUAUUUUUAAAGCUUAUUUUUUGUUUUGGAUGGACUUUGUAAGUCGACUCAUGAACAAAGUCUACUUUAUAGUGAAUACUAUAUAUGGUUGGAAAGAUGGUUUGAUAGGGUACUAAAAUUAAAUGAAAAAUCAUUUAAAAAACAAAUUAAAUAUUCAAACAUUAAAUAUAUAUUUUAUAUAUAAUUGGUUUGAACUAAAUUAACAAAUACUUUGAUAAUUUUCAGAAAAUUCCUGUAACAAGAAAAUUAGUCACUGUUGCUAGCUGUUAAUAUCUUUGAUUUCGAUUAAAAGAAUUACCAAAAUACUUUUUUUGAAUAUGAUAUAGUGCAAGUUGCACAAGUAGUUUAAAAUUUGAAGAUAUUAUUACUAUUUAAGGAGUAAAUAUAUUUUUUAAAUCAAAACAUUUAAUAUACUUUCUUAUUUUCUAUUUUUUUUAAAAAUUAACUAAAUUAAAAAAUGUUCAACAAACUAAAUAGUUAGAAGUUUUAAAUUUAAAUCAAAUUUGAAAUGUAUGAUCUACAUGAAUAUACCAUAAAAUAUAAUGAUUGUAUCAUUAAAAUAUUAAUCAUAUAAAUAGUUACGAAAGUGUGUAAAAUUGCUUUAAUUUUUACCUUGUGUAAGUAGAUCAUUCCCCUUAAUAUUAAUAAAUUUUCAUUUUGUUAUAACAUAAUAUUUAAAAUAUGAAUUAAUGAUUUCUCAUAAUUUAUUAUUGAAGUUUUUAAAUUCCACAAGUAAAGUCAAGAAGUUGAUAAAGUCUUUUAGAAGAAUAAUAAAAUAUUUUAAAAAAUUAAAUAUUUUAAUACUGCUUGUAGAAUAAAUAAAUAAAAAAACAUUACACCAAACAAUCACCUGUUUAAUCAAAAUAUAAGAAAUAGGUAUAAUUUUGAAUUUGUUGAAAAUAAUUUAAAUAAUAAUUAGAAAACUAUUUUUUAAAAGAUGUGUUGUAAAAUUUAUUCAAAGUGUAAAAGACAAAUUAUUCCUUCAAUGCUUAGCCAAAAAAAAAGAAAAAGAAAAAGAAACUAUUCCUUCGAAAAAAGAUAAUUAUUGAAAAAAUAUAGUUAGAUAUAUGUCUUUAUUAAUAAAAGAUUAUCUAUUAACAAAAUUACUUUACUUUAAUGUCAUAAAGUAAAACAUUAAUCUCAUAUUUAUAUUUUUAAAAUUUUAACUCUUCAAUGGUAGUUAAGAUUAUGCAAAUGAGUUCUUUUUAAAAAAUAUAUAAGAUAAUUCAAGUUUUGAUCUUUGUUGUCGCUGUGGUUAUUUAGUUUGCUCUCUCAAUGGAUAUUGUUAUUGCCACCGUUGGCUCUAUUGUCUCUAAAGCUGUAGAGUAUACGAUCUCUCCUAUCAAAAACCAUGUCAAAUACCUUUCCAAUCAUCAGCAAUAUGUUGAGACCCUCAAGGACCGAGCUGAGAGGCUGAAACAUGCAAGGGACAGAGUGCAGCAUUCUGUUGAUGCGGCUAAACGAAACGGUGAAGAGAUCGAAGGUGAUGUUGGCAAAUGGCUGUCUGCAGUCGAUAAAAAGAUCCCUGAACAAGUAGAGAAAGUGAUGCAAGAUGAAGAAAAAGCAAAGAAAAAGUGUUUCAUUGGUUUGUGUCCUAAUUUCAGGACUCGUUACAAGCUUAGCCUGAAAGCUGAAGAGGAGGCAAAGGCUGUUGCCGAGCUACUUGAACAUGACAAGUUUGAAAGGGUUUCCUAUCGUGCAGCUCCGCAAGGUAUCAUGGUUGCACCAGUUAAAGGUUAUGAGGAAUUCGAGUCAAGAACGUCGAUUUUGAACGGAAUAAUGGAGGCACUAAAAGAUGAUAGCGUCAGCGUUGUUGGGGUGCAUGGUAUAGGUGGGAUUGGAAAAACAACACUGGUCAAAGAAAUUGCUAGAAAGGUCAAGGACAAGUUGUUUGAUUCGGUUGUCAUAGCAACCGUAACUCAAGCCAUUGAUAUUGAGAAGAUUCAGAACCAAAUUGCAGACUUCUUGGGCUUGAAAUUUGAGGAACAGAGUAUGGUUGGAAAGGCAUUUCGACUAAGAGAAAGAUUGAAGAAAGAGGAGAGGAUUCUGGUUGUCCUGGAUGACAUUUGGGAAAAGGUUGAUAUUGAGGAAGUAGGGAUUCCUUUGGGAGAUGAACACAAGGGCUGCAAAUUACUAUUAACUUCUAGAGAGCUCAAUGUUUUAUCAAAUGAGAUGGAUGCUCAGAAAAAUUUUCCCAUUGGGUUUUUAAAUGAAAAGGAAGCCUGGGACCUGUUCAAGAAGAUGGCUGGCAACUGUGAUGAAAGUUGCGAUUUGAAGCCUAUAGCUAUGGAGGUAGCCAAAAAAUGUGCAGGACUGCCGAUAGCCAUUGCGACAGUUGCAAGGGCUUUGAGAAACAAAAAAUUGUUUGAAUGGAAGAUGCUUCACGAGAACUGGAGAUGCCUUCGUCAAGCAACUUCACGGGGAUAACUGCGGCAUAUUCAGCUAUAGAGUUGAGUUUUAAUUAUUUAGAAAGCGAGGAAGUUAAGCUGACUUUCUUGCUUUGCAGUGUAAUAGGCCAUAAUGGUCUCGUUGAGGACUUGGUAAGAUAUACUCUAGGUUUGGGUUUAUUUGAUGGUGUCCACACUAUGGAAGAAGCUAGAAAUAAAGUAUUGACGGUUGUGGCUAAUCUCAAAGCGUCUGCCUUGUUGCUUGAUAGUUAUCAUGAUAAGCGCUUUGAUAUCCAUGAUGUUGUUUGGGAUGCUGCUAUAUCUAUUGCAUUGAAGAACUACCGUAUGCUUGUUUUGAGAGAUCAUGCUCCAAAGGAGUGGUCUGAUAAGGAGAAAAUGAAGACGUGGAGUGUGAUCAGCUUACGUUGUCCUCAGAUCAUAGCUAACCUUCCUAAGGAGAUGGAGUGUUCAGGACUUUCCUUUUUCCAUAUGGCCCAUGAUGGCGCGGUUAAAAUUCCUCUCAAUUUCUUCAAACAAACCGAAGGCCUCAAAGCCUUAGAUUUGGUCGGAAUGCAGUUUCCAUCCCUCCCUGAAUCAAUUAUUCACCUUGCAGACCUUCGCAUGUUGUGUCUAAAAAGAUGUGCAGUUGAUAACAUAACUAUCCUUGGAGAGCUCAAGAAUUUAGAAAUCCUUGACCUUGCUGCGUCAGGUAUCAAAGAACUACCUAAGGAGAUGGCACAAUUGACUCAAUUAAGGUUGUUAGAUUUGAGUUGGUGUAGAGAACUCAAAAUCAUCCCACCGAAUGUCUUAUCAGGUUUGUCUAAAUUAGAAGAAUUAUAUAUGAGUAGGAGCUUUGUUACAUUGAUUUGGACAAUGGGAUGAAAAUGUUGUUGAUAAAGACAGAAGAUUUGUGCCUAGAGGGACUUAAAGGCGUCAAGAAUGUACUUAUGAAGUUAAAUAAUGGGAAUGAUCUUCCAAAUUUAAAGAGACUUCAUGUCAAAAAUGGUAUGCAUGUCCAAUAUAUUAAAACGAACAAAAUUGGAUUUUUUGAAUUAUGCUUCAUCAAACUUGAAAAUCUACCGCAACUCGUUAGCUUUUGCUCUCCAGACGAAAAGUGUUUCACUAAGCCCUUACUACUUUUCAAUAAACAGGUAUUUGUUUGGCUUUACUUAUAUUUCCUUAUACAACUUUUAUUUAUAUGCCCAUUAAUACUUCUAAUAAUAGAAAUAAAUAAUAUUGUGUAAUGGUUUUUCCGAAGCUCAAAAAUAAAUUUCAAAUCCAAAACAAAUGAAAAUUUAAUUUUUAAUUCAAACCAAUUGAAAGUACAAAGUCAAUUUAAUAAUCUAAAUUUAAACCCAACAAUUUUUUUUUAAUUCUAAAAAUGAAAUUUGAGCCCACAAAUCGAACUAAAAUUAUCUUUAAAAUCGAAAAUCAUAUUUUCAAAUUAUGUUACAUACUAUCUUUCCCUAUCGAAAAAGAAUUGUGUGUAAAUAUGUGCAGUUUAUUUUCCCUCACUUGGAAAGCUUGUAAUUGUGUUCCAUUAACACCAAAAUAAUAUGGCACAACCAGACAUGUCAUUGGGUUACGAAUUUGAGGAGCUUGAUCAUCAAAGGAUGCGGCAAGUUGGAGCAUCUGUUAUCAGCCUCUCUCGCUAGAAGUCUGGUGCAGCUCCAACGCUUUGAGAUAGAGGAUUGCAAGUGCUUAAGGGACAUAAUACUUACAGAGGAAAUUGAAGAAGAAAGGAAAGAUGUGAUUUGUUUCCCUCGAUUAAACUCCCUGCAUAUAGGUGGUCUUCCAAACCUCAUCUUCUUCAACUCAGGAAACCACAAUAUUGAGUUCCCAUUGUUGAAAGUGCUAAAGAUUCAGCGUUGCCCCAAGUUAAUAGAAUUCAUUAAUCAGAAUAGUAAUCAGUCCGGCAUGCACGCUCUCUUCAGCGAGAAGGUGAUUUAUUUCAUUAGUCUUACACUCUUGCAUAAAUCUGUUGAUUUGUCCUUCUUUUUUUCUGCCUUCAUUAUUUGAGCUAACCUUAUUAUGGCCAUGGAUGAUAUAUAUAUAUAUAUAUAUAUAUAUAUAUAUGAAUAGGUUGCAGUUCCUAGCUUGGAAGACAUGAAUAUCUCUAACUUGAGUAAUGUGAAGAUGAUAUUUUAUAAUGACCUAGCACCAGGUUCCUUUAAAAAUCUACGAAAAAUAAGUAUUGGGGAAUGUGGGAGUUUGAAAAAUGUAUUUCCAGUAUCAAUAGCCAAAGAUCUUCCACAACUUGAAAAUUUAAUCAUCAUUAAUUGUGGAGUUGAGGAGAUUGUAUCGAAAGGGGAUGGAGUGGAGGAGCAGCCUGUGAGGUUUGAGUUUCCGCAAGUGUCUUACCUUGAGGUUUCAUUGGUAGAAAAGCUCAAAUGUUUCUAUGAAGGGCAACAUACAAUAGUCUGGCCGAUGUUAAAAAUUUUGAGAACAGAUGGUCCUGCUGUGCAAAAGAUAGUGGCAUCGGAACAUCUUAGAUUAAUCCAAGGAAAUGAGCGGCCAGUUUUGUUGGGUGAAGAGGUAUGUAUAUCAUUACAACUAUAUUUCUUUUUAUAAUGCAUUUCUAAUUACAUCCUUAAACUAUUGAGGUUAUAUCAAUUACAUCUUUCUAUUAUUAAAUUCGCUACUUUAGCCAUCAAAUUAAAUCAAUGUAAUAUUUUAAAACUUUGGUGUUUUAUCUACACUGUUCUGCUUAUAUUUUUUUAUCAUAAAAUAUAUAUAUAUAUAUAUAUAUAUAUAUAUAUAACAAUGGUUGUUUAUCUAUUUUAAUCUAGAUUUGCUACUCUUCUUUCGGCUUUCAUGUUGUGUAAUUUUUAUCAGUUUUUAUUCUCAAGGUAUUGUAUUUUAAUAUUGAUUUUGUUGGGAUUUAUCAUCAAAAUCAAAUACUAAAAUUGUAAAUCUUUUUUUUGUUUGUUUGUUUUUUUAAAGCAUAUACAUCAAGAUUGAGCCUAACUUGUAUAUAUUUAAUUGGUUUCCAAGCUCAUUCCCAAAUUAGAGAAACUUGAGUUACGAAAUUUUGGUGAUAUGGACCAAUUUCCACCAGACUUGUUUCAACAUAUUAAAGUUUUUGCAUUGAGUGGUGGCUCUCCAUAUUCUUUAUUUCCUUUCGUCCGAAGAUUCUACAAUCUGGAAAGACUUGAGUUCUCUUGUUUUGAUUUCAAACAUGUAGUCCCUUGUAAAGGAGACGCUGGGACUCUCCCACCAAUUAGAAAUCUGAAAUUGGUUUCUGCCAGAAAUCUUAAUCAUAUUUGGAGGAAAGAUUCGGAGCUUUACCAUAUUCUUUCUAAUCUUCAAACACUCACAGUUCAGCAAUGUGAUGAUUGGAUAAAUAUUAGAGUCUUCUCAUCAUCUUUACAAAAUCUCACAAUUCUGAAUGUGUCAUUUUGUAAAAUGAUGACAAACUUAGUUACACCCUCAGUACUUAAGAAUCUUGUGCAAUUAACGACAAUGAGGGUAAGAGGGUGCACUAAAAUGACAGAAAUAGUGGGAAACGAGGGAGACUGUCAUCAGACAAUAGUUGUUAGUAAAUUGAAAUGUUUACAACUAUGCAAUUUGAAGAGCCUCACAAGCUUUUGUCCAUGGUAUUACAACUUCGAGUUUCCUUGUUUGGAAGAAUUAGUUGUGGAAGAUUGUCCUAGGUUAAAGAUCUUUUCUGAGGGNNNNNNNNNNNNNNNNNNNNNNNNNNNNNNNNNNNNNNNNNNNNNNNNNNNNNNNNNNNNNNNNNNNNNNNNNNNNNNNNNNNNNNNNNNNNNNNNNNNNNNNNNNNNNNNNNNNNNNNNNNNNNNNNNNNNNNNNNNNNNNNNNNNNNNNNNNNNNNNNNNNNNNNNNNNNNNNNNNNNNNNNNNNNNNNNNNNNNNNNNNNNNNNNNNNNNNNNNNNNNNNUGCAUUUCUAUUUAUGAUGCUAUCUAGUGGAAUAAUAUCAGAUUAAUUUUUAGGAUGGACUCUAUGAUUUCAACAUCUCUGACACAUUUCCGGAGUCGAUAGAAAUAUGGACUAGAAACCCUCAAGAAAUUUUUGGCUUCAAAAACCUUAGCAGCCUGCAGUUUUAUAAAUGUAGCAGCUUGAAGUACAUAUUUACUCCGUCUAUGCUUUUGAGCCUCAAUCGACUCCGAAGGAUAGAAGUGGAAGAUUGCAGUUCAAUGGAACAAGUAGUUAGGGAGGAGGAGGAAGCAAUGACACAUAAAUUUACAUUUCUUUCGCUAGAGUUCGUAACAAUUGAGUCGUGUUCCAACUUGACAAAUUUCCAUUGGGGAAGUCAAGCUCUUGAAUUUCCAGAGCUGAGUAAGAUCAGGAUAGCUGAGUGUCCAAAAAUGACUGCAUUUUCUUCCUCAGUUUCAAGAGAGAGUGGUGAUGCAAGUGAAAACGUGGUUGGCAAAGGGGGCAUCUAUGAUAACACUGCAACUUUUUUCAGCAAUAAGGUAAGUUUGAUAUUCAAUAUUUAUCUGCACAACUUAUUUCACAUUUUCUUUUGAUUUGAUCAACAUGAGUGCUACACCUUGUCAAAAUUUAAUAUAAUAAAAUCCAUAAAAAUAUUAAAAAAUAAGAUAAUAUUUAAAAAAAAAACUGGAGUUUAAAUCAUAAAUAAAUAUAUAAAAUAAGAAUUGAAGGAAAAACUUAAAGUGAAAUACUAAAAAACAAUAAGAAUUUAAGAGAAGUUUUAAAUUAAAUAGUAAUAGACAAUAAAUAAUAAAAUAAUAAUAGAAAAAAGAAAACUAAUCUCCCUUUAUUUUAAUUUGUGGGUGUAUAAGAAUUAAGAAGGAGAUAAUUGUGGAAGACCUUUACAAAGGUCAUUUGAGAUCAAAGGAGAAGAAGCAAGAAAACAAAAGGUGAGGAGUUUGAAGAAGAAAGAACCAAAUAUAUAGAGGAGAAUUGAAGUGAGAGAGUGGAUGGGUUUUAUUUAAAGAUUUAAUUCUUUUUUUUAAUUUCAUAUAUAGAAAAAAUCAGUGAAAGAAAAAACAGUUCAAUAUAAUUUUUUAAAUUUACUUGUCGGGUUUUAUUAAAGUAACUCAAUUUUUUGAUUAAUUAUAAAAAUGACUCAAUUUAAAAAUUAUGUACAUAAAUUAUUCAAUUUCUAUAGUAUUUGUCAGUGCCGCCGGACACAAUGGUGGCACCGACCUACCAUCAUCGACCAAUGAUUGUAUUUUAUUUAAAAAAUAAUAGUUCUUGGACUUGACGAAGUAAUUACCCUUUUUUAAUUAGCAGAAAAAUGGGUCUUCUCAUGAAUAUGGGACACCAAAUUAAAUGCUUUUCAUCNNNNNNNNNNNNNNNNNNNNNNNNNNNNNNNNNNNNNNNNNNNNNNNNNNNNNNNNNNNNNNNNNNNNNNNNNNNNNNNNNNNNNNNNNNNNNNNNNNNNUUUUUUUAAAAAAUGAAAAUGGUUUAAAUUUGUUAUUCUUAUAUAUUUUAAGUGCUAUUUAAAUCUAAUUUCAAAAGAGGACAAACCUAACAUGCAAAUAGGUCAAAAGUUGAAAAACAUUUAAUUUGGUUCAGAUAUCAACAACACCCCUUUUUCAACCAAUCUAAAAACGUUAACCACUUCAAAGGAUCCCUUCACGUUUUAUAUAAUCACAUUAGUCUGGUGCCGUCAAUUUAUUAGGCAACACCACUACAAUUUUUUAAAAAAAAAGCAAUCAUUGGCUGGUGAUGGGGGCCGGUGCAGUAAGCACUAUGGAAAUCAGGUCAUUUACAUACAUAAUUUUUAAGUUGGAUCAUUUUCAUAAUUAAUCAAAAAAAAUUGGUUACUUUUAACUGUCUAGUUGAUGUGUGAAUAUUAACCUUUAGAUCAGUUUAUAAAUCUUCAUACUCAUCUACUCAUUUUGAUUGUCUUUCAAAGUAAAGAAUCAAGAGUGAUACUAUCUUAUAAUGAUAUUUAUGUCAACAGGUUGUCAUUCCUAGAUUGAAGAGUCUGGAUUUGUCCUCCAUCAACAUUCAUAAGAUAUGGCACCACUCAUCCUCCCCAUAUAUCGGAUACCUAAAUUUCUUGCGGGUGAAGAGGUGUCACAAUUUGAAAUACCUGUUCCCGUCUUUCUUAGCAAAAGAUCUUGUGCAACUCCAACUCCUUCGAAUUUCGGACUGUAAUAUGAUGGAACAAGCAAUAUUCACGGAUGGAUUGGUUGAGGAACAUCAAGGGAGGAAUCAGAUGUUUUUCUCUAACCUACAUUCGCUCUGGCUAAAAGACCUUCCCAAACUCACAAGUUUGUGCUUUGAAAAUUACUUUGAAUAUCACUGUUU